GUCCCAAACUCUCUGGGGAACUGCCUGAGCUCCUGCCCUCCUUGGAGACACUUGUUGUUAGUAAAUGUGAAAAGUUGGUAGUUCCAUUGUCUCGCUAUCCGAUGCUCUGCAGAUUAGAAGUUGAUGAGUGCAAGGAACUAGCGUGCGGUCGUCCAAUUGAUUCUAAGUUGAUAGAGUCCAUGACUAUUUCAAAUAGUUCAUUAGACGUGAAUGGACGCAAGGGGAUGCUAUAUGAUGGUCCAGCUGGCUCUUCACUGCCAAAGCCCAUGACUACUACAAAUGUUUUGGAGUUUGGAAAAUUAUUGAAGCCCAUGAUUGCUACAAAUGCUUUGGUAAUUGGCAAUUCUGAACAGCUCAAGUCAUGGAGUUUUUUUAUUGAACCAGGGCUACAUUUGCUCGCUCACAAUGAGGAGGUAUCAAUUGAAGAAAGUUGCGUACGUCUUGUUUCGGUUCCAGAGAUCAAUUUCUUUCCCAGAAAUCUGCGCUCUCUUCGAAUUUGCAACAGCACAGCUUUGAAAUCCUUACCCGAGGAAAUGAUGGAAAACAAUUCACAACUGGAAAGGUUGUAUAUCAGAGAUUGCGACUCUCUAACAUUCAUCGCAAGACGGAGGCUACCAGCAUCUCUUAAAAGGCUCGAGAUAGAAAAUUGUGAGAAAUUGCAACGUCUGUUCGAUGAUGAAGAGGAUGCUUCUUCUUCUUCUUCUCCUGCAUCCUCGUCUUCCCCAGUGAUGCUGCAACACCUGAGUAUAGAGAACUGCCCAGAGCUCACCAGUUUAUCAUCGGGUGUCCAAUUCCUUGAGGCGCUUGAAGACCUCGAGAUACAGCAUUGUCGAAAGCUGGAGUCAAUACCGGAUGGCCUGCCCAAUCUUAAAUGUUUACAGAGCAUUUAUAUACGGGAUUGUCCAAGUCUUGUUUCCUUCCCAGAAAGAGGGCUUCCCAACGCCAUUUCAAGUUUUGACAUUUCCAGAUGUGACAAGCUCGAAGCCUUGCCCAAUGAUUUGCACAAACUCAACUCUCUUCGAGGGUUAAGCAUUCUGCGGUGUCCAAAUCUUGUAUCGUUUCCAGAAGAAGGUUUUCCUACCAAUCUAACAUCACUUACAAUUGGAUAUUUCAAAAUGUAUAAGACACUCGUCCAGUGGGGGUUGCACAGGCUUACCUCUCUUCGAGACCUCUGGAUCAUUGGAUGUGAUGAUGAAGCAGAGUGUUUUCCAGACGAGGCGAUAGGAAUGACGCUGCCCACCUCUCUCACUGUACUGGGCCUUACGGGAUUCAAAAAUUUGAUAUCUCUGUCUUCGACGGGUUUUCAGAGCCUCAACUCUCUUCGAUCUUUGUGGAUAUUGGGUUGCCCAAAUCUCACAUCAUUCCCAGAGGUGGGCCUACCAUCCUCACUUUUGGAAUUACACAUUGGAGAUUGUCCAAAGCUUAAAAAAGCGUGCAAAAGAGAUCAAGGAAAAGAGUGGCCCAAAAUUGCUCACAUCCCUCUGGUUUUGAUAGACGGUAAAUUCAUAUACGAUCCAGAAGCAGAGGAGUAGAUUCUACUAUUAAGGUCAGUUGAUUUGUAUUAUCAGCAAUAACAAGCUCCUCCUAUUUGUUAAGGUAAUCACUCACAGAUGAAAUUAUAACUUUUAUCUUAAAUUUAUUGCCAUUGACAGAUGGACGAUUUUUAGUCCAAAGUUUUGUUAUUCACUUCAAUCAAAAUUUUAGAUUGCAGAUUUUUGUCAAUUAUUUCAUUUUUUAUUUUAUUUUAAAGCAGAAUUGGAUUAUAACAUUUGGAGCGCGACGACUCUGAUGCAUGCAAUUAACUGUUUUUAAUCGUUGGAUUUUGAAAUUAAUGAUGGUAAGAUGUGUACUUAUUUUUUCUUCCGGACAACCUUGCCUUCUUUCUUCGGUAGCAUAUCUAAUGAAUAUUUCUCUGUUUAGUUAAGGAUGAAUGCUUGGAGUGGAGUAUUUGAUAACAUUUCUGCCGUAGAUGAAUCCUUGAAGAAAUGCCUGCACUUCCUGAGACCAAAUACUGGUCUGAUUCAAAACAGCACCUGUCCCAGAAAAUAUGAUUCAAGACAAAGCCAUGUUCUGAAGCAGAAAUGAUGCAUUUCAAAUUUUGAAAUGAUGCAGAAAUGAUACAACAGUUGCAGUAUCCGAGGUACCUUUUCCAUUUAACUGGCCUUUAUUUGUUUUGCUUGUGACUUAAGAACACAUCAUUUUCCAGAGAUUUGGAGAAGCAUCUCAAGAUGCUUAACAAACUUGACAAGCUUCAAGAUGCACUUGCUCCCAAGCCUUGAUUCUUCACAAUGGAAAACCUGUGAGUACACUUAUGCCCGCAAUUAUUGUUAAGUGUUUGCAAUUUUGAUGCAGCGAAAUGGUUUGUGGAUGCAAAGCUUUAAAACUGUUAAGAACUACCCUGCAGGCUUGUUGGAUGUUGUAUACUUCAAAAGCCACCAACACCAAGAACUACAACAGCAAGACUAGGUUUGCGUUGCUUCAAUCAGCUGAAAUAAUGAUGCAAAUUGACACUAUCAAGCUGGACUUAGAGACUAGUCAGGUCAAUCAUCCAUUUCAUCAACAGUUAAUGUCAUGAUGGUGGCUAUCAGAGGAAACAAAAGAUCUGUUGGAAUCAAUUCAAACAGUGAGAAGCAUGAGAGGAGCUUUGAUUAUAAAUAGGCUCAAUGAGCUCAUGCUGGUAAGUGGUAAUUAAGAAAUUUGUGAGCUUAGUAUAGUUUCAAUUUUUUUCUGUUUGGGAUAUAGUUGAUAAGUUGAUACUCUGAUUAAGAAGCCUGAUUAUAGUAGCUGACUGUGCUAACUGCGUUCUUUUAUUUUUUAUUUUUUUGGUUUGCUGUCGUUUUUUCUUUUGAUUAUUUGUUCAACAUUAGAUUGAUCUGUUGAAGACUUUGAGGAAGAUCCAGACUUGGAUGCAGGCGUGCAGCUCUUAAUAGGUGAGACCAAAUGAAUGCUUUAACCAUGUUUCUCACUUAUGACAAUGCACGGAUCGAAGGCAUCUGAGUUGAUCCAGAAAAUGAGAUGGAAAUACGUCUCUGUUUUCAUAAAACAGAACAAAUAGAGAUCUCUGAUCACUCCUGAGAAUUCAUUGCAUUGAAAUUUCUACCAUUGCCAAACAUAGAAUAAACUGGGGAUACAUUAGCUUUAGACUCAAUUUUGAGGAGGAAGUUUGUACUUGCAGCCUAUAAAAUCAUAUCCCUGUUGUAUGUUUCUUUGGGAAAUGAAAGAUUCUGUGUGUUCUUUUAUUUCAAGUUUGCUGAAAUCACAUUUGUUUUCUAAGAUGCUUUACAGAAGGUACCAACAUCAUUUUCAAAAAUGCUGGGGUAAGAUACAUCGUGCAGUGCUCCUCAACAUGAGAAUUCCUGGCCGCAUUACCCAUAUGUGGAAUGAUCUGAGAGUACAACCGUGAGAAUGUUGUAAGGAGUACACAACCAGAUGUGAGUAGUUUGAAAAUGAAUUCGCAUGGAAUGAUUUCUUGCCAGUGCAGAAAUGGCUUGGUUCAAAAGUGCUCAGCUUCAUUGACACUCUUCGGUAGGCCUCUCCGUCCUUCCAUUCUUAACUACAAUACUACUCUUGUCUGUCUAGUUAUGGAAUCUCUCUUUUAAUCCUCAAAGUUUGAAUUAUAUUAUAUUGCCUCUGUGUUUCCGCAGAAACUGAGUCAGUUGGUGAUCCUUCAAAACAAGAAAAACCAAAAACAGAUACAGCGCGCGAUAAGAUAAUGAGACAGAUGGCUCCCGUUGCUGCAUGCCACUUGCUUGUGUGCGUAUUGGGACCAUCAUCAACAACACUGAUGUAAACCCAGCUCAAGGUGGGAAGCUAGUUCGAGCUGCAGGGACGUUAACCAAGAUUUUGAGAAAGAACCCACUUCAAGGUAUUGCUUAGUUAGGCUACGUUGUGGAAAUGAGAAAGUGAUUGACCCUAGAUGUCGCGCCACCAUUGGUACAGUGUCUAACCCCAGCCAUGGAGCUAAAAAGCUUAGUAAGGCAGGUCAGAGAAGUUGGUUGGGUCGAAGAGCUGUGGUUAGAGGAGUAGCCAUGAUUCCAGUUGAUCACCCUCAUGUUGAACGAAGCAAAAGUAGCGGUAACAAUGGAAGGUGUUCACUCACACCUUGGGGCAAGCCUUGUAAGUCUGGGAAUUAAACUGCAUCUCCUAAGAAGAAAGAGAAAUCAGCUGUCUGAUAAUAUUGUCCUUUUCUGCUAUUUGGUCUUUUUAACAUUGUUACACUGUUUUUACAUCUUUGAGGUUAGUUUUAGACCAAUUUUUAACUGAUCCAUAAUAAAAAUUGAAGUUUAAUUUUUGAUUAACUUUCACUGGUUUUACUCUUCUGUCACUUCAAUUUAGCAUUGAUUUAAGAUGCUGAAUUCUGUGCUUGGAGCUUGUAAAUUGGAAAGAGAUAUUUUGGGAUAGAAUGUAGAUUUUGUGUUUUGCUUUCUCAAGCUAGUUGUGACUUCUUAAAAGAGUCAAUCCAUGUCUUUAUAUAUUUUUCUUUUGUCUUGAUUCUGUUUCUUCAUACAGAUUCUUAUUUUAUGCUUCACAUACCACAUGAAAGAUGAAAGCUUUUUCUGUGAUUAGAAUUGAAUUGCAUCAUAGUAACUUUAAACCACUGUGACAUUUUUAUAAUAGCAGUCUAAGAUCUCCUUGAAGGAUUCAAAAGCAUUUCAUUCGAUAGUCUUGGCUUCCAUUAUAAACUCCUUUAUAUAGAUUGGUUGGUCUCUGUUAAAAGCAAUGCCUGUUUUAAGUAAUCAAAAUUUGGGGUUAUUUCUGAAGUCUUCUGUAUCAUCUGACUAAAUUACAUGAAAGCACACUUGGCUACAAAAAUACAUUUGGGGUUAUUUCUGAAGUAUUCAAUAACACCUUUUCCCCCUUUUUCCCCCAUGGUGGUUUUUUUUAGUUCUCUUUAUAGGUUUCUGAAGUAAUUCCAACAUAAGCAUUUUUUUCAGAAGCACUUUAGAUGUGUGGCAUUUAGAAAAUCUCAUUCCAGUGUUCACACAGUAUAAAGCAUAGAGAGUUGGAUUCAUUUUAUUUACGUACAUGUGCUAGUGCCCACUGGCAUCCACUUUACUUGUAUCGGUCAAAAGUUUUAUGCAAUACAAUAUUAGCGUCGAGGAGAACGGGUUGGUGUUGGUCUGAAUUCUGAUAUUUGAAUAAAUAUAACAGCUCAUGUGACUCCACCACUUUUUACUUGUUCUGUAGUCUGUACCUACCUCCAUUGUCGGCACUGCCCAUACAAGGUCUUUUAGCUUUUUAAAAAGUUUCAUGAUAUUCCUUAGUUCACAUGGAUUUCUACAGUUUGUAGAAAACCUAAUUAGGGCACAUUUAAUUAAUAUGCAGAAGAUUCUUUUUUCUUGCUCACCAAUAAUUCUUUGUACUUAUUUGAAAGAUGUGUUUCAAAAAAAUUAAAAAAAAAAUAUUUGAAAGAUGAGAAAUCCCUUAGCCGAACGACAAACUCAUCUAUCAGUCCUAUAAAAAAAAAAUAAAUAAAUAAACUCAUCUUUUAGUGGUUUUUUUUUUUUUCACUUGUAUUCAGUCGCACAAGUGAAGAUUGUGGGCAAUUUUUCCCUUCAGUAAAAUUCGAAUAGAUGUUUUUAUUCACACAAAUUUUCGAGCUAUGUUUGGGAAACCCUUAAGACUUUGUUACGAUGAUAUGUAUCUAAGCUUUCAACAGACCGUUGAGGUCUUAUUAUCAAAAUACUAUAAAUUUACAAUUCGAUUUUGAUAAGGACUAGUUUAAUAAUGCUGUAAUUUUUAAAAUAAUUACCGUUUACUGUGUUGUAAAAAUAAUCAGUUAUGAAAAGAAUCAAUUAAAUAUUUGGUAAAUUUUAUUUUUAAAAGUGCUUUGAAUUUUAAAAAUAGUCAUAUGUAUUCAGAAAAUCUCACUUCUAAAAUACUGUAAGAAUGCAAAAAACUUAAAAAGACAAAUGUAUAAAAUUUAUUUACACAUGCACUUAUAAAUAUGUGUAUAUAAUAACAUUUUAUGUGUACAUAUAAUAAUUGAUAACUAAAAUAAAUAUUUUUUUUAUUAAUUAUUUUUUUGUCUCAAUAUAAUUGGUAAUACUUUUUUUAAUCUUCGCAUCCUAAGUUUUUUUUUUAUUGUUUUGUACAAAAUUCAAGGUUUGGACUUUUAUAAAAUGUCCACUCAAAAAUAAAUUGUUUUCUAACUAAGAUUUGUUGCUAAUGUAUAACUCAAAGUAAUACUAGAUAUUUGUAAUUUUAUUUCAAAAUUUUUAUUCAAAUGAUAUGGUAACUAAUGUACAUUAGUUGAUAGCAAUUUUUUUUUUUUUUACAAUGUUCAAAUCAAUCAAUUGCAUCAUCUCACCAUUUUAUCAAUUGCAUCAUCUCACCAUUUUUUUAUGAUGUCGUGUUAUUUUAAACGAAUUUUUUAUUUUUAUAUAAGACAUUCUAUGUUUAACAUCAUUUGCAUAACUUGACCUUUUUUUUUUCCUACAAAUAGUAAGUCAAAUUUACUCACCCUAUUUCUACCUAAAAUCUACCUAACACUCAUGCAUCACUGUAAAACAAAUCCAAAGAUUGCGGUACGUUUUUCUUGGUAAGAAAUCAAUAAUUAGGUCAAGUACUACUACUAAGCGUGCUCAAUUAAUUCUAAAAUACGGUGAUCAAACUCAUACUUCACGCAAGAGGAUAAGGGCUGAACCGCAAUUAGGCAUUAUUCAUCCAAAAUUCAUUGACUGGGCAUUCUUUGCAAGUUGUAGCACGGGACAGCUAAGAUUAGCAAAUGAUAUGGACCAUACGCACCCAUACAUUUGUGACAUGUGAAUCUUGGCAUUAAAGGAAAGGUAAUGCACUAAAAUUUAAUAGCGCCCAACUCUUCAUUGAAUGAUUAUCAGAUCCAAUGAGCAUCCUUUGAUUGGAUUAAUUUAAGUCAAUUAUUGGUGGAUUGGGGCCCGCUUGACUCUACCAAAUCGGGCUCCGCCAUAUCACCUAUUAACGACCACCUGUCCUUAUCAUAAAUAGCAAAUGUCACUUGUUUUAUUUUGUAUUUUACCAAAAGUAAAGUCACUACGAACCCAAAUGAAAGUGACCUCAAUUUUGGGGGUCAUGAACUUUGGAUUAUUAUGGACACAAGAGACAAGCGCAAUGUUUCUCAUUUAUCACUGGAUAAGAUUUAAGUUAUCAACCCAACAUUAAUAAAUUCUGCUUGAGAAGUAAAGUUUGAAGCUUCAUUUUGCGAAUAUUCAAUGGUUAACAUUUAAGUAAUUAACCUGAUAUUAAUCCAAUUAAACUUUUUAUGUAAUCCAAGUCAAAAACAUAUUGAUAAACCUAAAUUAAUCUAAUUGGACAUAUUAUUUCAACUUGAAAAGGUGAAUCUAUCAUUUUUCAAUUAAUUUUGAAUCAAGCUAUGUAAAAUAUAAGCUUAUUAAAGACAUAUUUUUAUCAUGUUAAAAUAUCGAAGUACUUCUUACUCAUUUCGUAAUAACAUUAACAAACCUUUUGGUAAAUUUGACAGUCCAAUCAAUUCAGUUGGUUUUUUGUUAUUGAAACUCCAACAAAAUUUAUGACGAUUAUUAAAAACCCAUUAAAAAAAAAUGAAGGUAACUAUUUAAAAAAUUCUAAUUGAAUUAUUUAACAACUACAUUUCAACUAAAUUGUGUUGCUAAUUAACUUCCUCAACUUAAACUAUAUUUUUCUGAAUUAAUUCAUAACAAAUAAUGUUAGAUAUUUUAUUCGAAUAAUAACAUUCAACAUCCUUAUUCUUUAUGAUUAUUGCAUAAAAACAUAUUUUAUCCAUUUACAUCACAUAUGUUCCUAAAUUGUAUAAGAAAAUCACCAAAUUUACUCUUGUAAGUUACUAUAUCAAUGAACAUGAAAUUCACUAAUCAUUAAAGUCUCGGAAUGACAUCAUGAGAGGGAUUCAGUUACAUUUAUUGAUAGGAUUAGAUAUAUGUCUUCUCAAAUAUUAGUAGGAGCAAUUUAACAGAUGCAGCUACUAAAAAUAUAGAAUUACUUAUCUCGUCAAUAACUAACGAUAUUUUUUAUCUAUGCUCAAUAAAUUGUAAUAUUUGUAGAUUGUAACAAUUGUUAAAAAAAAAAAGCUCCCUGAGACUAAAUGACAAAAGGACUGUUUUGAAAUAGAUAGAUAAAAUAUGCCCUUAUUUGAAAAAAUGUAAAACACUAGGGAUCUAAAUGUUAUUAUAAUCCCAUGCACAAAAAUACCAAAAAUAACUAAUAACAACUAACCGAAAAUCCCAGGCGUCAUAUUCCUUUUUUCCGCGUUUUAAAAUGCCCUCUGAUUCAUUCACAGUCAGACGCUGUCGGCAUUUCUCUUCUCUCCCUCUCUCUCCACGUAUUAAAACAUGUAAAGUACGGAAAAAUUUAAAAAAAUUUUAAAAUUACAUAAUUUAAAAGAUAUAAAAUUAUACGGUUUUAAAAUUUUUUUAAAUUUUUUCGUAUUUUAAAAUUUCGGACUAAAAAAUUAUUAUACGAAUACUUCGUAUAACCGCUUUGCGCUUAAAAUCUGUGCCUAACAAACUCACGAAAUCACUCCUCAUUUUCCUCUCUCCCUCUCCUCCUCUCAUUCCCUUUCAAAUCCUUCCACCACCUUCCCCGCCUCUCUCUCUUUCUCUCUCCCCUCACCGCCACAGCUCAACUUUUCCAUGUAAACCACCACGGGCGCCGUCGUUUCAACCUCCCACUCAUCCGACGUCGUUUUGUGUGAAUAAGAUAACGAUUUAAAUUAAAAUACGAAAAUGGAGAACUUAACGGCGCAGUUGAAGCGAGGGAUAUCGCGGCAGUUCUCGACGGGAUCGCUGCGGCGGAGCCUGACGAGGCAGAUGUCGAGGCAGUCGUCGUUCGAUCCGAGGAGGAAUAACAUGAGGUUUAGCUUCGGGAGGCAGUCGUCGUUGGAUCCGAUACGCAGGAGUCCGGUUCAGGACGAGUUGACGGUGCCGGAGAACCUUGACUCGACGAUGCAGCUGUUGUUUAUGGCAUGCAGAGGUGACGUCAAGGGAGUCGAGGAUUUGCUGAACGAAGGCAGUGAUGUCAACAGCAUUGAUCUUGACGGACGGUUUUGGCGAGAAAUCAAAGAAUUAAGAGACAGUAUUUAGUUAAGCUAAUAGUAUUUGUUCUGUUUAGUACGUCGUUUUACCAACAAGCAUCCCGGCAUUGCACGCAUUAAUAAAUUUUUUUUAUCUGUUUGGACUGAUGGUGGUAAAAAAUUCCACAUACUUUAUAUUAAAAAGGAAAAAGGACAAACACACCCCUAAUGUCAACUUGGAGGGGGGUCGAUUCCGAGCUCAAGAAGUGGGAAAGAAAGCUGAAGAUGAUUCAGGCGGUGCUCAAUGGUGGGUAUGACGGCAAAAAUAAGUUGGAGGUUUUCUAUGAAUUUGAACAUCUAAGAACAUUCUUCCCAUUACACAUAAGAGGUGGCUCCAAAACUGGUUACAUAACUCGUGUGGUUCUAACUGAUUUGUUGCCGAAGUUUAAAAGGUUGAGGGUGCUAUCUUUACAAGGAUACCAUAUUGGACCAAUUCCAUUUGAAGAUUUGAGACUUCAAAGUAUAAUUACCCAAAGUAUAAUUACCCAAAGUAUAAUUACCCAAAGUGUAUACAAUAAAAGCCAAAUUUAAGAAAUUCCUCAACCUUGCUGACACUGACAUAAGAAGUUUACCUGAGUCAACAUGCUCAAUGUUGAACUUGGAAAUUUUGAUAUUAAGAAAUUGUUUCCGUUUGAUGAAACUCCCGCCCAAAAUGAGGAACUUGGUUAAUUUACACCCAGACUCUUUUCUUUUGACAUGGGGUUAACGAUCAAAGUUGGUUUCGUGCGGUAUAUAUUUACAAAUUGAUAGGUAUGCCUGGUAUGACUGCUUAUGCUGGAUUUUAUGAGGUGUGCUCUCCUAAGCAAGGAGAGUGGGUCUUAAUAUGGGCAAGGGUGCAGUUGGUCAGCUUAUGGGGCAGUUUGCAAAGUUACUGGGCUGCUAUGUUGUCGGAAGUGCUGGAAGCAAAGACCAGGUAUACAAACAAACAAUCCGUAUCAGUUGCUUGAUUGUUCCCAUUUUGCUUUCAAAAUAUCUAACUUACAUAAGGAAAAUUUUCACCAUCUCGUCUUUUCUUUGAUUUUGAACGCUAAGAUUGAUCUACUGAAGAAUAGGCUUGGGUUCGAUGAGGCGUUCAACUAUAAAGAAGAUCCUGAUUUGAAUGCAGCCUUGAUAAGGUUAGUAUAUCAGCAAACUACAAAUUAGAAGACAUUUUUUCCUGAAAAUCAAAUAACGUUUCUAAUUUGACAGGUGCUUUCCUGAAGGCAUUGACAUAUACUUUGAAAACGUUGGUGGGAAAAUGCUCGAUGCGGUGCUGAUCAACAUGAAAAUCGGUGGUCGAAUUGCUGUGCGUGGGAUGAUCUCGCAGUACAACCUUGACGAACCCAAAGGCGUACACAACUUGACGCGUCUUAUUUCGAAACGGGUUCGGAUGGAAGGAUUCCUCGUAUCGGAUUACAAUAAACUCUAUCCGAAAUUUCUGGAAAUGAUCAUUCCUCACAUCAAGGGGGGAAAGAUUGUAUACAUUGAAGACACGGCUGAAGGUCUUGAGAGUGCUCGGGCAGCUCUCGUCGGUCUGUUCUCUGGCCGGAAUCUCGGGAAACAGGUGGUUGCAGUUGCUUCUGAAUGAAUGAAGGAUUUGGUUGUUUACAUCAUGCUUCUACUCGUCCAUUUAUUUAAUAAAAUGGUUACGCUCAAUGAGUGUAAUUUUUAUGAUGCUAAAUUAAAUGUGGAAUGUGGCUGCUGGUUUGAUAAUGUUAAAAGUGCUAAAAAAUUUCAUGUUAGGCGCGGUGUGCGUCUGUAUAUCAUUUUUAGGUACGGGCAUUCUAUCUUUUUUUUUAAUUAAUACAGACACAUUCUUAAACUGUAUGGUUUAAGAGAGAGUUAAAAAAAACUUUUACCACAUGGUUUAAAAGCGUAUCCGUAUGGGAAAAAAAUGAAAGUCCAUUGGAGAAGAAUUUUAUAUAUAGUCCAGGAUAUUAAAGUACGGAAAAACUAUAGAGUUUUAAAAACUUAAAAUUUAAAACGUUUAAACUGCACGAUUUAUGUGUUUUUCGAUGUGAUCCCACAUUUUAAAAUUGUGGAUUGGAACAUUUGUCUUUGAGGGAAAAAAAACAAUAACAACAACUUCUUUUGGAGACCGUGGGGCUCAUAUGCAGAUUCAACCCCGAGCUAUACACUGGAUCUGGUGGGCUAGGUUUGAACCCAAAACAAGCUCUAUUCAUUACACGGUUCAGCGGGUUGGUCCAUUUGACGCUUCUAACUUAACAAUUUAAUCAUAAUAAAUUGAAAAAAUAAAAUAAAACCCACGUAUCUAAAUUAUUGUAUUGAGCUAUUGGUGCAGAGAAUAAGUAUAUAUGAGAACAAAAACAACACGAUGUAGUCGCUCGUUUUGUCACUUCUAAAAUCAGGACUUAGAGCAUCACCAAAAGGCUCUUCAAAUAAGAUUUUAUUACUCAUUUGAAGAGCCACAUCAAUAUUUAAAGCUCCAAAAGACACUCUAAUUAAGAUUCUUCAAAUAAGAAUUGAUUCUCUCUCUUCAAAUUUGGAGAGUUAAUUUCUCCCUCUUCAAUUUAUAUUUUAUUACUUUUCAUUAAAGAAAGAGAGAGAAGUGCUUUAAUUGCUAUUGACUUUUCCUUUUAAAAACUAAUUAUAUGAUUAAAAUAAUAUUAACUUAUUUCUAUUUGAAGAGUCUUUUGGAGAAUAUCAUAUUUUUUCACCCUUCUAUUUGCCACAUAGGUAAGCAAAUAGAUAUUUGAAGAGUAAAAUUUAUAGAGGCUUUUGGAGAUGCUCUUAUGAUAGAGCCAUAGUGUUAACAGUACAUCGGUGUAUAAUUAUUUGUAAUGAAAUUAAUUAAUAUGGGUUUUAUGUUGUCUUUGUCAAUAAUCAAUUAAAUUUUUCGUUUUCAUUUAAAUGUUACUGAUCGAUGAAACAUUUGACUGCGUUCAAGUUAUCUUUUAAUUUUGUGAGAUCCACAUUGUUUUUAUUUCAAAAACAUAAUUUUUCAUAUUAUUAAAAAGCUGUUGCUUGGGCCUAGAGAAAUUGGAUUAAUGAAAUACCUUAAGGGUGUGUUUGACACAUUAUAUUGUAUUAUGUUGCAUUGCAUUAUUUUAUUUGGUGUUGCACUAUACUUUACUAAUUUUUUUGCAAUUAAUUUAAAUUACAUAGUUAGCAAAUAAUAUUUAUUAGUGCUUAGAAAAAUACUAAAUAUAGAAGUCUUAAAUUUUAGAAAUUUAACAAUUUUUUUACUAUAAAUGUUAAAAAAUAUAAUAAUUCUUCAUAAAGAUGGAAGCUUACAGCCUUAAGUUUUUGGAAGCAGAGCAUUUAUUUUUUAGUAUCUUCUAAAUAUAUAAUUUUUGAAAUAAAGAUAUAAGCACAUAAUUUAAUCACAUAGUCUUUAAAUAAUAUAACAACAUAAAUAAAUAGUUAAAAUGUGCAAGAUUAGUUCAAAACUCAUCUUAGGAUGAUAUAAUAAAAGUUUAUACACACCACAAGAUAAUCACAAAAUAAUAAAGUGAUAAAAUUAUUAUAACAUAUUCACUACCAAAAUAAAUUAUAUUAAAUAAUCCAAGUGAGAGUUCUGUAGUUUAUAUAAUAAUAUUAUUUAUGUUAUUAUUAUUAAUUUUAAAUUAAUAUUAUCCAAAUUUAUUCAUACUUAAAUAUGUAUUAUUAGUUAUAUUACAUUAUUUUUACAUAUUAAUUAUUGUAAUAUAAUUAAAUAAUGUAAAAUUAUAUUAUAUUUUUAUAUACUAUUUAAGUAUUUAUUAUUAAUUAUAUUCAAUUAUAAAUUUAUUAAUAAAUUAUAGUGCAAAAAAAAAUAGAAAUAAAAAUUAAUAUUGUAUAAUAAAUAACAUUCUGCUCCCAAUUUCUGGAUUUUAAAUUCCAAAAAUAGUAUUCACGUUCGCCACAUUCAAAAAUCCAACCUGGGCUUGGAGAUUCGAUUCAUCUCAUAGAUUAAUUUUAUAAACUAAUGUUUAGUGAAAAAUUAACCUUAAUGGGUCCUCCUCUCCAGGCCUAAUUCUUAAUUUUUUUUUAAAUUUGGUCCUACUUAAGUGGCUUCUAACGUUACCGUGUCUUUAUUUUGUGUACAGUUGUUUUACUAAUUUGUCAUUUAGUGCAAAUAACAGCACUCAACUUGUAAUAUCCAGUAUCCACAAAUCAGCCACUUCGGCCAAGGCCGAAGUGGUGGGCUGCUGCCCUCACAAUGCUUGUGAGGGCAGCGGUUCUAGCCCCCACAAAAGCAUUGUGGGGGCUAAAUGUUCUUUAUAUUUCCAAAAAAAUCCUUCUCCCUUGCGAAAUGCAAGUGGAGUAUGGACAUCCCUCUCCUGUGAGGGGUUAUUUGUCUGGGCAUGUACUUCAUAGAAUUCAUUGUAAUAAUGUAAGUCUCAAUCAUGUAUAUCUGAUAGAAUUCAUUGUAAUAAUGUAAGUCCCAAUCAUGUAUAUCUGAUUGUAAAUAUCAGUGUAAUAUCUCUGCUACAAUAAGCAGUUGUUGUAAAUAUCUUUCAUUGUAAUAAUGUAAGUCCCAAUCAUGUAUAUCUGAUUGUAAAUAUCAGUGUAAUAUCUCUGCUACAAUAAGCAGUUGUUGUAAAUAUCUUUCAUUGUAAUAAUGUAAGUCCCAAUCAUGUAUAUCUGAUUGUAAAUAUCAGUGUAAUAUCUCUGCUACAAUAAGCAGUUGUUGUAAAUAUCUGUGUAAUGCAGUAAUCUGAUGAUUAAUCAGUAUUAAAAAAAAAAAGUAUCCACAAAUCAUGAACUCAUUUUUUAGUUCUUUCAUGUGUACUAACAUUCGUACAAAUAUACAAUAAGUUCAUAAUUUAGUCCAAGUUGACGAGAAAUUCUUGACCCACCCCUAAAUAUCUGUCCGCCAAUAGCGUGAAGUGGCCGGCAUAAAUUUAAAGCAGCUGGGACAUUGUAACUCAUCCAAAGAUUGUAUAACAUCUCUUUUUUGCUUUAUCGUUUUUCUCCAUUUGCAUAGUUUCUUAUCCUACCGCUUUAAAAACAAUUAUUCCUAGAAAUUUUCAUUUAUCUAAUGAAUUUUAAGAAAUUUUUCAGCAAACAAUUUUUACUUUUUUUUUUUUAUCAUUGAUGGGUAAAGAAAAUAUUAAUGAAAAAUGAGGAGUUAUUGGCUGGUUCAACGGAUUAAUUGCAAUGAUAAAUACAGGGAGGAUUGGAUUAUAUGGCAAAUUUUUAUAGUAAAUGUAAUAUAUAUGCUAACGCUUUUUAUUUAUGGAAAAAUAUCUUCCUCUUUUGAGACUUUUCCCACUAAGAAAAUUGGAGGAUACGACCAAAAAAAAAAAAAUAUAUAUAUAUAUAUACUAAUAUUUAUCAUUUAUAGAAAAGUAUCUAUCCCACUUAAGAUUUGCCCCACUAGAAAAGGAAAAACAAAUCCCUCAAAAUAAAAGAGCGAAAUGGAAACAGAACAAAAUUUGAUUUUGUGGAUCUUGUAUUGUGUGAUAAGUCCGGCAUGCAAUUUUGGGCCAGCGUACCGUGCGCAUGGGAGCAUUCACAAAGUAUCUCUCGUCACUAUCGAAAACUUUUAACAGUCAAUACAAAUGCUUCCGUUUCAUCCCAUAAACAAAUAAAAUUCACAUCUGUACACAUCUACUUUUCUUUGCUAGAUAGAGUUCCUCUGCAUUUCCCAAUUGCCUAAAGAGAAGGGGAAAAGAAAAAGAGGGCCAAAAAAUGCCUGAAAUGGUAAGGAACAAGCAAGUGAUAUUGAAGGACUAUGUGUCUGGUUUCCCAAAAGAAACAGACAUGUACAUGACCGAAAGUUCCAUAGAAUUGAAGGUACCAAAAGGUUCGAAUGGGGUUCUUUUAAAGAACUUGUACUUGUCCUGUGAUCCGUACAUGCGACCAAGAAUGACCUACAUCGGAGGAUCUUACGUUGAAUCCUUUAAACCUGGCUUGGUUAGUGCACUCGCUCAUGGCCACGCUUUUCAUUUCCAUGGCUUCUUGCUCUUUUGUUAUAGAAAAUUUAUUUUUGGUUGCAGUUUGGUUCGACUGCUAAAAUCUCGUGCGAUAACUGUAUAAGAUAUCUAGAGUUUGAACUUCUUUCACAUUAGGGUUCAAGGAAGUUAACUUAAAUGAUUUUCAAAAUUUUAAAUGUGUACCAAUGAGUUUAAUUUCAUAGCUUAAACUUAUAUUUUGAUCAUACUCUAACUUUGGACAGGAAAAUUAUAUUUUUCCUUUUGUUCUUUGACUUGGUGUAUGUUGUGUGAAGUACUUGUGCUUGAAAAUUAAUUGCUGACACAGAAAUUUCUAUGAAUGCAUGCAGCCCAUAAGUGGAUAUGGGGUGGGUAAAGUUUUGGAUUCAGAGAAUCCAGAGUUCAACAAAGGUGACUUGGUUUGGGGAAUGACUGGAUGGGAAGAGUAUAGUCUCAUUACGGCUCCACACUUGUUUAAAAUUCAACACACAGAUGUGCCUCUUUCUUACUAUACUGGAAUCCUCGGUAAACUUUUUGUUUGCGCAAUUUAUGUGAGCAAAUUGUGUCUUGUUUUUCAUUAGUAAAUGUUUUUGAUAUCUCGAUGUGAAGGUAGAAAAUUGCAUGUUUUGAGUUUUUGCAUAUUUGAUGGAAACACAGAACUAUACCUGAAUCUUUCAGACCCCCCUUUUCUUUGAAGUUUGAACACUUUUCUUGAAUGUAUCAACUUUAUUUAUGGGGUAUGUUGCCAAAUUGGCAAAUCUAUUCGUUAUAAAACUUUCCUUUGACAGUUAAUCUAAGCAGAUGUUAAUUCUGCAAAUAGAGUGUGCCUUAGUUUAGAUUGAUAGAUUUGUCUCCUUCUGUACAGUAAAAACUUUGAGCAUUUUCGCCAUAUUCUGAUCAAUACACUCCAACUAGUUAGUUCUUGAGGCGUUUUCUGGUUUCGUGGAGUGAGCCAAGAUGUAUACGUUUGCAAAUUGGCAAUGUCUUUUGCUUGAUGGGUUGUGAGUUGAGAGUGUCAAUAGGAAAGUCUCAAAGUGCACAGUGCUCACUUGAGCACCCAUAUUACUUGGUGACCUGUUACCUCAGCAAACAAGACCUCUGUUUUAUGAACUCCAAAAAGUUAUUCUGUUAAAAAGAUCGAGACAGAGGCCAUACUAUAUUUAUUAUUGCCAUAAAAGUGUGAAACAAUAUUCUUUAUUUAAUAUUCUAAACGAUUGAGCCAUUUAGUUAUGAUACUUUGCUGUACUGGGGCUAAUAAUCUAAGUCGGUUCAAAGUGGUAAAUUUAUAAAUUGAUAGGUAUGCCUGGUAUGACCGCUUACGUUGGUUUUUAUGAGGUCUGCUCUCCUAAGCAUGGAGAGUGUGUCUUCAUAUCAGCAGCAUCUGGUGCAGUUGGUCAGCUUGUGGGGCAGUUUGCAAAGUUAUUGGGCUGCUAUGUCGUCGGAAGUGCUGGAAGCAAAGACAAGGUAGGUUAUCUGUGUGAAGUACUUGAUUGUUUCCAUGUUACUUUCAAACAUUUAAAUUAAAAAGGAAAUUUUCAUAAUCUUGCCUUUUCUAUGAUUUUCAAAACCAAGGUUGAUCUACUGAAGAACAAGUUUGGGUUCGACGAGGCAUUUAACUAUAAAGAAGAAGCUGAUUUGAAUGCAGCAUUGAAAAGGUUAGCAUCAAUAAAUGCCUUAGCUUGAUGCAGCUUGAUGAAGUAUGAUACAUAUUUCUGACCAAUAUACUGCGUUCCCUGAUCUCUUACUUGAAAUAUCUUGGUUUGAGAAUCUCAUGCUAAUGCCUUUAACAUUUUGGCAGGUACUUUCCUGAAGGAAUUGAUAUAUAUUUUGAAAACGUUGGUGGAAAAACUCUUGACGCAGUGCUACCCAACAUGAAAAUCCGUGGUCGAAUUGCUGCAUGCGGUAUGAUCUCACAGUACAAUCUUGACAAGCCUGAAGGUGUGCACAACUUGAUGUAUCUUGUUUCGAAGCGGCUUCGAAUGGAAGGAUUCAUUGUUCUCGAUCACUAUCACCUCUAUCCAAAGUUUCUGGAAAUGAUCAUUCCUCACAUCAAAGAAGGGAAGCUUGUAUACGUUGAAGACAUGGCUGAGGGUCUGGAGAGUGCUCCGGCAGCUCUCAUCGGUCUAUUCUCUGGCCAGAAUGUUGGGAAACAGGUGGUUGCUGUUGCUCCUGAAUGAAGAACAAGUUAGUGUUGUAUGUUCGUUUACCCUUUGACACAAAACUUCAAUGUUAAAGAGAGAAUGCUGCUCAUACUGCUUUAUAAAAUAAUCAAAUGAGUGCAAGUUUCAUGAUAUGUGCUGAAUAAAAAUAUUGGAAAUUAAGCAGCUAGCCUAGCUCCUUGUAGUUGCAGUUUGAAUGAUGCUGCUGCACAACCGCUGCCGAAAAAAUCCUUAAUAGAUGAUUAGCGAGGUUUCAAAAAUAAAAAUAAAUGUUUGUGCAAUGUGCCGAAUAUGACAGCCACAAAGAAAGAGCAUACAAAUUGAUUGGUUUUAUGUCUUCUCUAGGAGAAGGCUACAAUACAAGAAAUUGUAUUGAUGGAGCCAUGGACCAAAUUUCUUAUUUAAACUUUUAAUUUUUUUUAUUAAAUUACUUAUGUUAUUAUGGUUUAUAUUUUUAGAAAUUCUUUAGAAAUUAAUACAGAACUAGUAGCAAGUUGAGAAAUCUACUGAAUGGUCAAGAUAUGAUCAUGUUUAUUGAAUUAAAUUGGCAAUCAUCAUUUUGAUAAAUUAUUAUCGGGAUAUUUGAUUCAUCACAGGUGUAAGUAACUAAAUGUGCUAAAGAAAAAAGUUAAUGAGUUGGACGUGUUUAAUAUUCAUUUGUUGUAAUUCUUUUAAUAAUUAUUAUGGAAAAAAAAGUUAUGGUAAAAAAAUUAUAAUUAUAAAAUAAAAAUUAAUAAUAUAUAAUAAAUAAAUUUUUUAAAUAAUAAAUAUAUUAUGAGUUUUUCAUCGUUAAUUUUUAAGUCAAAAUAAUAAAUAUUUACUAAAUAUUUUAAUACCACAACUAAUACCACAACUUUUGAAUUAUAACAGUACAAUGUAAAUGACAGAGGCCUUAAAAAAUAAAAUUACAGUCAAGUUUUAAAACUGUUAAUGAUAUUCAUAAAGGUGCUCGUCGUGUAAAAACACAUGGGACCCAACCAAUAAAUGCUUAUGAACCUCAACUUUCCUCCUCACUGUCCCUGCAAACAAUUCUGAUUUUCUUGUCUGAGCAAAAAACUGAGAAACAAUGGCGGCCGAACAAGAAGCUGUGAGGAAUAAGCGGGUGAUUCUAAGCAACUAUGUGACAGGUUUUCCAAAAGAAUCAGACAUGAAGAUAACAUGUGGAUCAAUAAAACUGAAGGUAGCAGACGGUUUAAAAGAUACGGUGCUUUUGAAGAAUCUUUAUAUUUCUUGUGAUCCUUACAUGCGAGAGCGUAUGAGCAAGCUUGAUAGACCUUCUUUUGUUGAUUCAUUCCAUCCUGGUGAGGUUAGUUCAUCACGACCCAUCUCUUGAUUUUUUUUUUUUUUUUUCAUUUGCUUCAAGUUUUGAUGAGUUUCUGAGGUCAUUUGUACGGUUUUGGAAUGUGAAUACAAUUGGUGAUUUUGGUGCUGUAACUGUCAUUAAUGAUAUGUAGUAAUUCAAUCAGAAUUUGGAUUUAGUGCUGGUAUGAUCUCUGCUCAUUUUUUAAAAUCUUGUGUCCACAUGCAUUUUUAUAAUCUUGUACGGUUGAGAUUGUAUGUAGAUUAAUCUACGUACAGUAUUCUUGUCUAAUGACUAGUAACCACAACCUUAUGAGACGAUCGAAACCAAGCUCAGAUCAAUAAUCCAAUCGAGAGAGGAUCAUAACUCAAGCUUAUCGUGUGUGGGAAUAUUUCGGUUAAAUUGUAAUCAUGAUCAUGAAUCAUGCAGGGAAAAGGGAAGUUGAGGUCAAUUUAUGCACUUGAUGGAAUUAAAGAACCAAUAUUUGAUUUUGGUUUACAUUAUUUCUCAGUAAUGGUGACUUUGUGAUGUUAAAUUUAUGCAGCCUAUAAACGGAUAUGGGGUGGCCAAAGUUUUGGAUUCUACACAUCCAAAUUAUGCAAAAGAUGACUUGGUUUGUGGCUUUAUGGGGUGGGAGGAGUACAGUGUCGUUACAGCUCCGCAGCUUUUGAUUAAAAUUCAGCAUACAGAUGUGCCACUUUCAUACUAUACUGGGAUCCUUGGUAAUGAUUUUUGCUACACAAUAAGAUUUGCUUGUAGUAAUAUCAAUACAUAUGCUGCUUAAUGCUUUCUGAUUUUUUGCCGGCGAUUGUCCAUUUUGCCCUGGAGUCUAUAAUUGAGGGAAUUUACUGAAGGAAUGUGAUUGUUGGGAAUUUGAUUAUUCUAGGUAUGCCUGGUGUGACGGCAUACGCUGGUUUAUACGAAGUUUGCUCUCCGAAGAAAGGAGAAUAUGUAUAUGCAUCUGCAGCAUCUGGAGCUGUUGGUCAGCCUGUUGGCCAGUUUGCAAAACUAGCUGGUUGCUAUGUUGUUGGAAGUGCUGGAAGCAAAGAAAAGGUGCUGUUAUAACAUUUUCAAGUUGUAAAUAAUUUAAUUUCAAAAUUGUCUGAGUUGUACAUGCUUUUUGUUCUAACCAAGCAUCAAAAUUUUGAUCGUGAUAAUUAGCAAGUUCAAUAAUUUUUUUGAAUAUCUUUUCAAUGUAAGGUCGAUUUGUUGAAGAACAAGUUUGGAUUCAAUGAUGCUUUUAACUACAAGGAAGAGCCAGACUUGGAUGCUGCUCUCAAAAGGUCAGCUGCGACAAAUGCUUCAACUAUAAUUUUUCACUUUAAUAUAUAUUACAGAGCUUUGGUAAUUUGGUUGAAGUGCGUGAGUCGAUCCCGAAAUUGUAACUUCACCAGUGUUCUCUGUUUUAAAGAAACAGGAAGUAUUAGAAAUCUGAUUUUUCUUUUAUGGAUAAGCUGAGAAUAAGUGACUGAAUCCAUUGUCUGGUUAAAAAUGUUUACAUGUGUUAAUAUGAACUAUCCUUGUUUAGUAAUUGGAUAGUUUGAUAACUUUGUGGAGCAUUUGUGUACGAAGUGUCAAAUAAUUUUGAUUGAAAUAAGAACUUAGUGGAUGCAUUCAAUGAUUUUUUUUCCUUUUUUUCUCUCUCCCCAAGAUAUUGAGAGAAUGAUUGUAACAUUUGAGGGAUAAGAUCAAAGUGUCUUUGAGGACACCUCAUUGAUUGAUGAAGAACAAAUUACAGCCGUUAGAUUAUAGUAAAAUUAAAGACAUGAAUAGUAUACAUUUUUUGUGUGAAAAAGUAAGAAGAGACAUUCCUUUGUAGUUUGUACAAAAUUGACUUAAUGCUGAAUGCAAAGUUAACUUAAUAAUUUGUCUUUAAACUAUUAUUAUUAUUGUUUAAUCAACAUUGACUUUGUGGCACCAUCCACCAUCUGCAAUUGAAUAUCAUUAUUGUUUAAUCAACAUGGUGGAGUCCACUGGAACCACACCACAUGGUCAGUCUUAUCUCUAUUCCUCAAUUUUCAAUAUUCCAUACAUCCAACCAAUUUCAGGUUUGUUAGCAAUUAUAAGUUCAUUGUUGGUGACGAUUCUGAUUCCUUUCUUUCUCAUAAAACGGAACCAUGGUUGCUUUUGGAGAGAUCUUACUCAACGCCUUCUUUCAGGUGUUGUUUGAUAGGUUGGCUUCUGGUAAUUUUCUCAGCUUUGUGCGUCAACUCCAAGGCGGGGUUGAUUGGGAACUCAAAAAGUGGGAGAAAAAGCUGAAGAUGAUUCAGGCUGUGCUCUGCGAUGCAGAGGAGAAGCAACUGAUCGACGAGGCUGUGCAGAUGUGGCUGGACGAACUCCAAGACUUGGUUUAUGACGCUGAGGACAUUCUUGAUGAGUUUGCUACUCAAGCUUUGGAAAGCGAGUUGAUGGCGCAAAAUCAGGAUAGCUCUGGCCAGCUUCUCAGUUUCAUCCCAGCUAGUUUGAAUCCGAAUGCUAUUAUGUUCAAUUAUAGCAUGGGGUCCAAGAUUAAAGAUAUUACUAGCCGGUUGGAGCACCUUGGCCAAGAAAGAAUUGAACUUGGUCUGCAACGGAUUACUGGAGGGGCAUCAUCAUCUACUGCUGCUGCACACCAGAGGCCACCCAGUUCAAGUGUCCCAACAGAGCGUGAAGUAUUUGGAAGAGAAGAAGAUAAGGCCAAAAUUCUUGAUAUGGUAGUGACCGAUACCCCCAGUGAUCAUGCCAACUUUGUUGUAAUACCCAUUGUUGGCAUGGGCGGGAUAGGAAAAACAACUCUUGCUCGGGAGGUCUACAAUGACAAGGCCGUUGAAGAUUCCAAGUUUGAUGUAAAAGCAUGGGUUUGUGUCUCUGAUGUCUUUGAUGUUUUGGGCAUCUCAAAGGCACUUCUUGAGUCAAUCACCCGCAGGCCUUGUCUUCUGAACAGUUUAAAUGAAGUGCAGGUUGAGUUGAAAGUAGCUGUGGAUAAAAAAAGAUUCUUGCUGGUCUUAGAUGAUGUUUGGAACGAGGACUACAGCUUGUGGGUAGACUUAAAAGCUCCAUUCUUGGCAGCUGCACCAAACAGUAAGAUGAUUGUCACCACACGCAAUUCAAAUGUUGCAUCAAUAAUGGGACCAAUUGAACAUUAUAAUCUCAAGAGACUGUUAGAUGAUGAUUGCUGGUCCAUUUUCAUACAGCAUGCACUUGAAUCUAGAGAUCUUAACGCACAUCAAAUUUCAGAAUCAUUCCGCAAGAAAGUUGUUGGCAAGUGUGGAGGCUUGCCCCUGGCAGCAAAAACACUAGGGGGCCUUCUGCGUACUACGAGGCAUGAUGCAUGGGACGAUAUAUUAGAUAGCAAAAUAUGGGAUUUACCUCAACAAAGUCGCGUUCUCCCUGUGUUAAGAUUGAGUUACCACCAUCUUCCGUCUCAUUUGAAAAGAUGUUUCGCUUAUUGUGCAAUCUUUCCAAAAGAUUAUGAAUUCAAUGAGAAGGAGCUGACUUUCUUAUGGAUGGCUGGAGGAAUUAUUCGACAGUCAAGAAAGAAUGAGCAGCUGAAAGAUUUGGGCGGCAAGUGCUUUCAUGAUCUAGUGUCAAGGUCAAUUUUUCAACAAACCAGCUCGGGCAGUUCUAAAUUUGUAAUGCACGACCUUAUCCAUGAUCUUGCUGAACUGGUUUCUAGAGAAACCAUUUUCAGAUUAGAGGAGGCCAACUUGUCAUCAAGAAGAUUUGAAAGGAUCCGCCAUUUUUCCUAUACCCGUGGUCGGUAUGAUGGUAAAAAUAAGUUCAAGGUUUUCAAUGAAAUUGAACAUCUACGAACAUUCCUACCAUUACACGAAAGACGUGGCUAUUACAUAACUCGAACGGUUCUAUCUGAUUUGCUGCCAAAGUUCAGAAGGUUGAGAAUGCUAUCUUUACAAGGAUACUGUAUUGGUGAGUUACCAAUGUCAUUGAAGAUCUGAGACUUUUAAGGCUCCUCAACCUUGCUGACACUGACAUAAGAAGUUUACCUGAGUCAACAUGCACAUUGUUGAACUUGGAAAUUUUGAUAUUAAGAAAUUGUUCCCGUUUGAUAAAGCUUUCGUCCAAAAUGAGGAAUUUGAUCAAUUUACGCCAUCUUGAUAUAAGAGGUGCGAAGUUGCUGAAGGAGAUGCCAUCCGGAAUGAAGGAGUUGAAGAAUCUUCAAACGUUGUCCAAUUUUAUUGUGGGCAAGGGUGAAACUGCAUCCGGUUUGGAAGAUUUAAAAUGUUUAAACUUUCUUUGUGAUGAACUAUGCAUGAGUGGAUUAGAGAAUGUGAAUAAUCCACAGAAUGCAAGAGAAGCUGCAUUAUGUGAGAAGCACAAUCUUGAAGCAUUGACUCUAGAUUGGGGGUCUCAAUUUGACAGUUCUCGAGAUGGAGUAGUAGAAGAGCAUGUACUGCAAAUUCUACAGCCUCAUAAAUGUAUAAAAAAGGUGGCAAUCAAGAACUAUGAUGGUGUAAGAUUUCCACUUUGGAUCGGAGAUCCUUCGUUCUCCAAGAUGAAGGUCCUUAAAUUGGAGAACUGUCACAAUUGUGUAUCUUUGCCGUCGCUUGGCCUGUUGAGUUCACUUAAGCACCUUGCUGUUAAAGGGCUGAAGAAACUAAAAAGCAUAGGGUCUGAGGUUUAUGGGGAGGGUUUCUCAAUGCCUUUUCCAUCACUGGAGAUUCUAAGUUUCGAGAAUUUCCCAGAAUGGGAGCAUUGGGACACCGAGAUCAAAGGAAAUGUGCCUGUUGAUAUAUUUCCUCGUCUCCAAGAACUUUCCAUUGCAGAAUGUCCCAAACUCUCUGGACAACUGCCUGAGCUCCUGCCUUCCUUGGAGACACUUGUUGUUAGUAAAUGUGAAAAGUUGGUAGUUCCAUUGUCUUGCUAUCCGAUGCUCUGCAGAUUAGAAGUUGAUGAGUGCAAAGAACUAGUCUGCCGGACUCCGAUUGAUGUUAAGUUGAUAAAGUCCAUGACUAUUUCAAAUAGUUCAUUAGACCUGAAUGGAUGCAAGGGGAUGCUAUACGAUGGUCCAGCUGGCUCUUCACUGCCAAAGCCCAUGACUACUACAAAUGUUUUGGAGUUUGGAAAAUUAUUGAAGCCUGGAUUUCAGAUAUUCGAAACUUUGGUAAUUGGCAAUUCUGAACAGCUCAAGUCAUGGAGGCAGCAUGGGGAUUUUCCUAAAAAAUACAUGGUCACUGACCAUAGGUUUAAAAAACCAGUACCAGGGCUGAAUAUACUCGCUUCCCCUGAAGAGGUAAAAAUUGAAGAAAGCUGCGUAAGUCUUGUUAUGUUUCCAGAGAUCAAUUUUUUUCCCAGAAAUCUGCGCUCUCUUCUAAUUAAAAACAGCACAACUUUAAAAUCCUUACCCGAGGAAGUGAUGGACAACAAUUCACAACUCGAAAGGUUGUAUAUCAGAGAUCGCGACUGUCUAACAUUCAUCGCAAGACGGAGGCUACCGGCAUCUCUUAAAAGGCUCGAGAUAGAAAAUUGUGAGAAAUUGCAACAUCUGUUCGAUGAUGAAGAGGAUGCUUCUUCUUCUUCUUCUCCUGCAUCCUCGUCGUCCCCAGUGAUGCUGCAACACCUGAGUAUAGAGAACUGCCCAGAGCUCACCAGUUUAUCAUCGGGUGUCCAAUUCCUUGAGGCGCUUGAAGACCUCGAGAUACGGGAUUGUCGAAAGCUGGAGUCAUUACCGGAUGGCCUGCACAAUCUUAACUGUUUACAGAAGAUUAGUCUAGUGAGUUGUCCAAGUCUUGUUUCCUUCCCAGAAAGAGGGCUUCCCCACACCAUUUCACAGGUUGACAUUUUUUAUUGUGAAAAGCUUGAAGCCCUGCCCAAUGACAUGCACAAACUCAACUCUCUUCGAGAUUUAAGCAUAUUGGGGUGUCGAAAUCUUGUAUCGUUUCCAGAAGAAGGUUUUCCUACCAGUCUAACAUCACUUAGAAUUGGAGAUUUCAAAAUGUAUAAGAUACUCGUCCAGUGGGGGUUGCACAGGUUUACCUCUCUUAGACGCCUCUAUAUCGUUGAUUGUGAUGGCGAAGCAGAGUAUUUUCCAGACGAGGAGAUAGGAAUGACGCUGCCCACCUCUCUCACUCAACUGGAACUUUCGGGAUUCAAAAAAUUGAUAUCUCUGUCUUCGACGGGUUUUCAGAGCCUCACCUCUCUUCAAUCUUUGUGGAUCUUCUAUUGCCCAAAUCUCACAUCAUUUCCAGAGGUGGGCCUUCCAUCCUCACUUUUGGGACUAUACAUUUUCAAAUGUCCAAAGCUUAAAAGAGCGUGCAAAAGAUAUCAAGGAAAAGAGUGGCCCAAAAUUGCUCACAUCCCUUGCGUUGAGAUAGACGAAAAAUUCAUAUACGAUCCGGAAUCAGAGGAGUAGAUUUCUGUUAUCCACUAUAACGAUCUCCUAUUAGUUUUAUUUUUUAAAUAAUAAUUUUUCAGUUCUGUUUUCUGUAUAAUUAUAAAUCCUCUGUCGUUAAUUAUUGACAAUGUCACUCACGUGAUUCCGUUUUCACUAAUGAGACUGUAUGUUGAGGCUGUUUGCUUUUUAAUCACAGAUUAAAUUAUAUGGUGUAAGGAAAUCAAAAGAAAAUUAUGCAUAGUCAAAUUCUGAUAUUUGCUAUAUAUUAUACAUUCGAAAGUUUCUCCAGUUUGUUCUCAGAUUACCAUCAUUUUUUGCCUUCACCUAAAAAUAUAUAUAUAUAUAUUUGAGUGGCUUUCCGGUGGAUAUUUAAUCGGAGGCAUGACUGGAUUUUUUUUCACUUCUGUAGAUCUUGCAUUUUAAACUGGCAAAUUUAACUUUAAUUUUAAUACGACUUUGUUGGUGCCUUCUAUUCCAGGAGCUAGAAAGAUGUGUAGUUUUCAGAUAAAGGGGCUUGUGAAUUCUCUAGUAAGAAUCCAAUAAUUUGCUUUUGCACGUUCAUUUUAUUUGUAGAUCCUUGCAUCUGAAUUUGAUCAAUCCAAAAGGAAUUGCUUUUGGACGGAAAAGAAUAGCAGUACCUAUUCGAUGACAUAGUGUAUGGACCCUCACAUGUUAACUUUCAUGAAGAACACAUUUAAGAAAUUUGCAACUUUUUGGUUAGUUAUGUAUCCAAUGUUGUUUUCUGUUUUAGCAUUUGUAGAAUCUACUGUAUUAUAUUUUGGCAGUUACAGUAUCUGAGGUAUCUUUUGCAUUUAACUUGCUUUAUAUGUUUUGCCUGUGACUUAAGAACACCAAUAUUUGCCAGAGAUUUAGAGAAGCAUAUCAAGAUGCUUGGCUAACUUGACAAACUUCAGGAUCCUUCAUUCUUCACAAUGCAAAACUUGUGAGUACUCUUAUGCCUGCAAUUAUUGUGAAAUGCUUGCAAUUUUGAUGCAGCGAAAUGGUUUGUUGAUGCAAAGGUUUAAACUUCUAAGAUUUACCCUGCAGGGUAGUUGGAUGUUGUAUACUCGAAAAGCCACCAACAUCAAGAACUAUACCUCCAAGAUCGGGUUUGCAUUAAUUCAAUCAGCUGAAAUAAUGAUGCAAAUGACACUAUCAGCUGGACUUAGAGACCAGUCAGAUCAAUCAUCCAUUUUAUCAACAGUUAAUGUCAUCAUGGUGGCUAUUAGAGGAAACAAAGGAUGUGUCGGAAUCAAUAUGAACAGUGAGAAGAAUGAGAGGAGCUUUGAUUAUAAGUAGGCUCAAUGAACUCAUGCUGGUAAGUGGUAAUUAAAGAAAUUUGUGCGCUUAGCAGAGUUUCAAUAUUUUCUGUUUGGGAUAUAGUUGAUAAGUUGAUACUCUGAUUAAUAAGCCUGAUUAUAGUAGCUGACUCUAUUAACCAGGUUCUUUUCUUUCUUCUUUUUUGGUGGUUUGCUGUUGUUUUGAUUAUGCUGUAACUACAAGGAAGAGCCGGACUUGGAUGCAGGCGUUCAGCUUUUAAUGGUUAAGAACAAAUGUAUGCUUUAACCAUGUCUCUCACUUAUUACAAUGCACGCAUUGAAGGCAUCUGAGCUGAUCCUGAAAAUGUCAUGGAAAUACUUCUCUGUUUACAUAAAACAGGACAAAUAGAGAUCUCUGAUCAUGCCUGAGAAUUCGUUUCAUUGAAAUUUCUACCAUUGCCAAAAAUAGAAUAAACUAGGGAUACAUUAGCGUAAGACUCAAUUUUGAGAAGGAAGUUUGUACUUGCGGCCUAAAAAAUCAUGUCUGUGUUGUAUACUUGUAUGUUUCUUUGGUAAAUGAAAGAUUCUGUGUUCUUUUAUUUCAAGUUUGCUGAAAUCACAUUUGUUUUCUUAGAUGCUUUCCAGAAGGUAACAACAUCAAUUUCAAAAAUGCUGGGGUAAGAUGCAUCACGCAGUGCUACUCAACAUGAGAAAUCCUGGCUGCAUUAACUGUAUGUUGAGUGAUCGCACAGUACAACCUUCAGAAGCUUGUAAGGAGUAGACAACUAGAUGCGAGUAGUUUCAAUAUGGAUUCGCAUCAAAUGAUUUCUUGCCACUGAUUACUAUAACCUCUAUCCCAAAAUUCUUGGAACUGGUCAUACCAGCUAUGAAGUAUUGUAUGCGUUGAAGAGCUCAAGGCCUUGCAAAAGCUCCGUCAGCCUUUGUAUUGGCAAACAGAUGGUUGUAGUUGCAUCUGAAUGAUAUGAUUAAUAGAUUCUGUAAAAAUGAAUUGUGCCAUACGCUUUCAGAGUUCUGUUAAGAUGUCUUGGUAGUUUUUUAUGCUUGUUUGAUUUAUAUUGCAUUCAGCUAUAAAUCAAAGGUUCAGAACACGAGUAUGUUACUGAUUUCCAAAUAGAAAAAUUGCCUUGUGAUGUUAGUGUCCAUUGUUUUCACAGGAGAUCAGGUUCCUUGUUAAUGAAUCAAGAAGGCAAACGCAUCCAUGUCUGAGUUCAAAUGUGUCUCUUCUAUUUUCUAUUACUGACUCAUUUAUUUUGAUUUCUUCAUUGUGAUUGAACUGGUUUUUUAUUCCAAAUUAGUCAAAACCUCAUAGAGUUAUUAAGUUCUGUUAGCAUUUAAAGACAGAACUACGUAACAAAUGAUUAGCAGGAUUAAAUUACAAUAAAGAAUUAAGUUCUUCAUUGUAAUUGAAUUUGCUUUCCCAUGUUUAUAGAUAUUAUGUUCUGGUUAGUGGUGAUUUCUUGAAGAGUCAAUCCAUUUGUGUUUAUACAUUUUUCUUUUGCCUUGAUUUCUGUUUUUUGGGGAGUUUAUACAGAUUCUUAUUUUAUGCUUCACAUGCCACAUGAAAGAUCAAAGCCUUUUGUCUGAAUAGAAUUGACUUGCAUUGUAGUAACUUUAAACUACUGUGACAUUUUCAUAAUAACAGUCUGAGAUCUCCCUGAAAGAUUCAAAGCAUUUUAUUUUAUAUUAAACUCCUCUACGUGGUUUGGCGGCUCUCCUUUAAAUCAAUUUCGGUUUUAAGUUAUCAACAUUUUGAUUUGAAAGUGUGUUUCAACACUACCACAAGUUCUUUAAAAACUAAAACAAUUUUGAGUCUCCUGUAUCAUCUGAUUGAAAUACAUGAAAGCACUCUUGGCUGUAAAAAUACAGUUGGGUUUAUUUCUAAAGUCUUCAACAACAUUUUCCUUUUUCCCUUUAUCCUCAUGGUUGUUUUUUCAGUUGUUCUUUAAGAGAACACUUAAAGAUUCUCUUUAUAGACUUCUGAAAAUAAUUUCAGCUUAAGCAUUUUUCAAAAGCACUUUAGAUGUCUGGCGUUUAGAAAAUUUUAUUCUGGUGUCACAUAAUAUACGUAGGAAGUUAAAUUUAUUUAUUUAUAAGCAUGUCCCAAUGCCCAGUGGCAUCCUCUUAACUUGUGAUAGUCAGAUGUAUUAUACGAUACAAUAUCAGCUUGACUGUAGCAUAGAGGAGAAUAGGGUUGGUGUUGGACUGAAUUCUGAUCCUUGAAUAAAUAUAACAGCUGCCUGAACCAGCUUAUUUGACUCCACAACUUUAUACUUGUUUUAUAGUCUAUGCCUACCUCCAUCGUCGGCAGCUUACACAGUCUCUUUUAGCAUUUUAAAAAGUUUCAUGAUAUUCCCAUGGACUGCUACAAUUUAUAGAAAACAUAAUUACGGCAUAUUUAAUUACCACGCGAGGAGUCUUCUUUUUUGCGCACCAAUAAUUCUUUGUACUUAAUUAGAAGAUGAGAAAUCCUUUAGCCGAACCACGAACUCACCUAUUAGUGGGUUUUUUUCCACUUGCAUUCAGUCGUUCAAGUGAAAAUUGCGUGCAAUUUUUUCCUCAAGUAAAAUUGGAAUAGAUAUUGUUGAUUCGAGAUUCUGGUUACGCCCUUCCAACGACCAGGAUGUCUGUUCGAUCAACCUCAUCUCGAUCAGGAUCUCUCCUCGUACGCUUUCUUCUCUAAGUAUCCCUGCGUCCACAGAAACAAGUCAGAGCACGCCGGUUGGUUUCCCGGCGUAAACCCUCCGACGCUCAAGUCAGAUAUGAAGGCUCUGGGAACGCUCGCCACAAAUCUUAUGGCUUUUUGGUCGUUUUCCCUUUUUUAGAAUUUCCUUUAUCUCUGUUCUAAUCUCAAAAUUGCUAACCCUUUUACCUUCGUUGGCUACCUUUUUAUAGGUCACUUUUGAACUCGGGCCUCCCCUCCAUUUGCGCUCAUUACCCUCCCACCUCUCAAAAGUGGAUUCCCCUUUUCCGUAGUCGUGGGUGGUUGCGUGGCCCUCGUGCCUAGAUUCUCGGACUGGAAAGCAUGCCUUGCCAACUGUCGUUGACCGGGUCUCCUCGACUCAGCCCUUAGCAGGAAUACAACAGGAAUGGCUUUAUGCUUCUUACAGGAGAUUGGCCUCGCGGAUGACGUGCUCGUGGGUGAGCAGGGUAUUCCUGCUCCUGCUCCUCCGGAUACCAGGCUCUUACGGGACACACCGGUUCGCAGAGCUCUGCCAUCAGAUAUCUGCUCAUCAUGCUUGGUCUCGUCGACGUAUUUCUCCCAAACACCGGUCCCCCAGUUUCUGGUGUUGGGUAAUGUAGUGGACCAGCAGUAGAAACUCGACAGUACUUACUCGCGUGGGAUUGGAAAAGGCUGCCAAGAGUCGUGUCGCAUUUAAUUGCGGAUGAGGUGAUGUGGCAGAGAUCCACCCCUAUAUUUGAAUUUCAAACCGACGGUUACGAGACCCUCGGGAUUUGGUGCUGUUAAAUGCUGGCUAUCCAAGGGUUUUUCUUCCAAUAAGGUAACCCAAAACCUCUCUAAGGGAAAUUAGCCAUUUCCACUGUCUCUGUCCCUGUCUCUCCGGCGAAGAAGUUUCGGCAUAAAAGCCCCCAUCCUUGCCUUUCUCCGACUGAAACAGUACUUCAGGUAUUACUUCUUUCUCCUCGGUCUCGGAUAGUUUGUAGAUAACUUCUUUUUUCUUUGUUUUGCUUGGGGUAGUAGUUGUUGGUGGUGUUUUGGUUAUUACCUAGGGAAUGUCGAAGGGUAAGGAGAAAGUCGUUGAGAUUGAUGACGACGAACUAGGUUUCUUGCUUGGUCUGCUCAUUGAUCCUGCUUUUGACCCCGGGGUCCCCUUAGAACCCAUUAGGUUUAGUGUCGGGACUAGUGCUAGGAGGAUGUCCCCCCAAACAACCUCCAUGAGCGGAAGCAAUGGUGAGGAGAGACCUUCUGGCUCUGAGGACACCUUAAGUGAGAAUGGGGAAGGUGACUCUGGUGAGGUGUCUCCAUCUGGAACAUCACGACCAGAAGAACGGGGUACAGUAGGAGGUAGAGCCUUGUUGCGUGAUUAUGCCAUUGAUUACAUGACGUGCACGACCAUGUUUGACGAGCUCAAUGACCUCCGGCUUAGGUAUAGCAUUCCUGGUGAGAUACCUCUCAAGGUCCCAGGAAAGAAGGAUGCUCCCAGCCGGCCUCCUCGGGGAUACGUUACCCUGUUUCUAGAGAGCUUUAAGUAUGGGCUGAGGUGUCCUUUGCAACCCUACUUUGCCCGGAUACUUAACGGACUAAAUUUACCUCCUGGUCAGCUGAAUCCCAAUGGGUGGAGAGUGCUCUCUGGUCUGUUCAUAUUGUGGGACAGAUGUUGCCAAAGCGAGCCCACGGUUGAUGAGGUGAAGCACCUGUACCAGCUAAAGAGCAGCCCCAAAUAUGCCGGCUGGUACUACUUCCAAUCUAGUACCAAGAGCAGGAAACCCAUAACGGAUCUUCCAACUGGUGGUGGUGGGACUUGGAAGAGGAAAUUCUUUUUUGCUGGGGGUCCUUGGGGUCAAGUUGCACGAAUAGAUGGGAAGGAUUGUCGUGUCCCACCCCGUUUCACGGUCCCAGGUUGCCUGCUCGCUUUAGAUGUCUUGUAUCCAUAACUGUUCUUGCUUUAUUGGCUUGUCUCUAACCAAGUGCCUGUUUGUGUUGUAGUUUCUUGGGGUGUUCAUUUCCCGCUCCAACCUAACCAGUUCAAACAGGUCGAGGCUGUACUAGCCAAUUCCUGCUCGAGCCGCGAACUGCUAACUACUUACAACUUGCUCGAGUCUCGCUUGAUACUUCCUGGCCAUAAGAUGGAGGACGCCGUGAUUGGGGCUCUGAACAGGAAACGUUCUCGACCUCAAACCACGAAGAGGGACCAGAACAAGGACGCCCCUUCUGCAAAGCGGGCCAACAUCGUGCAGCAAGUCUCUCCCUUAAAGACUUUACCUCCUGCUCCCGCCAAAAUUGGGGAAACUAGUGGAGCAGCCACGGAUCCUGCUUCCUCUUCUCCUCUUGUCGGGCCUCGAUCUCGCUUACCUGACAACCGAGCAGAACACUUGGUCCCCUACCUCAAUGAGUUAUCUAAACUCGUGAGCAAGAAGGACCUGGAGGACUUUGACGGCUGCACCUUGGGUGAACUGGUGGGGGCCAUGCAGUAUAGCGCUUUCCACCUCAGCUGCAUGACCACUUAUUACAAGGCUAAGGUUGGCCGCUACGACCGGAAGAUGAAGGAGGAUAUUCAAUCGGCGACGACCAGAGCUGACUUUGCCGAGAAGAAAGCAGGGGAGCUAAAUCUCGAGAAUCUGAAGCUGACAGAGCAAGAAUCACUUGCUUAAGCAAAAGCCGUUACCCUCGAGGAGGAGCUGACCAAGGUCAAGGAGGAUCUGCAAAGGCAGAAGGCUAUGUAUGAGGCUCAGCUCGAAUCUCUCCGCGACUCCUACCGAGCUCAGGUCGAGAACUUGGAGAGGGAGGCCGACAACCAGUACGACCAGGGACUUCGGCAUUCCUAUCGUUGCAUCAUGGCCGUCCUCGGGAAGCAACACCCUGAUCUGAAGAUGGAUGACCUUGCAGCUGGUGUUGCUCAACAUAUGGACGAGGAGGCGGCCAAGGAAGAUGCUAAAGGGGUAGAGCCGAUCGUGAUUGAGGAGGAAAACUCUCCUCCUCGUGCAGUCCCUGCUGAUGUUGGCGAGGCGAGCACCCCCCGGACGCAACUGGUGAUACCCCCCCUGCACCUGAGGAGGUCCAGCCAACCGAUGCUGCUCGGCUUACUGAUCCACCAUCUUCUUGAUAUAUUUCUUGUAUUGUAAUGAACAAUGUUUGUGAAGAUUAUCUCCUCUGUUAAUUAUUAACAAAUUAAUAAAAAUGUUUUUGAUUACUUUCUUGUGUUGUAAUUUUUCGUUUGAGAAUCUGCUCGUCUUUGUCUGGUCGACCAGGUUCUGGCUUGGUACAUGGUUUUGCCACAUGCCUUUGAAAAUUUUUCAAUGCUUGGGAUUCUGCUCGCCUUCUCGUGGUCGAGCAGAUCCUGGCACGCUUGGUUUCUGUCUCGCCAUAAACAGGCUUUGAGACUUGGUGAGCCUUUGCAUGCUUUGGAAAUUUUUCGAUGCUUGGGGAUUCUGCUCGCCUUCGCGUGGUCGAGCAGAUCCUGGCACGCUUGGCUUCUGUCUCGCCAUAAACAGACUUUGAGACUUGGUGAGCCUUUGCAUGCCUUAGAAAUUUUUCGAUGCUUGGGGAUUCUGCUCGCCUUCGCGUGGUCGAGUAGAUCCUGGCACGCUUGGCUUCUGUCUCGCCAUAAACAGGCUUUGAGACUUGGUGAGCCUUUGCAUGUCUUAGAAAUUUUUCGAUGCUUAGGGAUUCUGCUCGCUUUCGCGUGGUCGAGCAGAUCCUGGCACGCUUGGCUUCUGUCUCGCCAUAAACAGGCUUUGAGACUUGGUGAGCCUUUGCAUGCCUUCGAAAUUUUUCGAUGCUUAGGGAUUCUGCUCGCCUUCGCGUGGUCGAGCAGAUCCUGGCACGCUUGGCUUCUGUCUCGCCAUAAACAGGCUUUGAGACUUGGUGAGCCUUUGCAUGCCUUCGAAAUUUUUCGAUACUUGGGGAUUCUGCUCGCCUUCGCGUGGUCGAGCAGAUCCUGGCACGCUUGGCUUCUGUCUCGCCAUAAACAGGCUUUGAGACUUGGUGAGCCUUUGCAUGCCUUAGAAAUUUUCACAAUUUCAAGUGAAUGAAAUUUCUCGACGUUCCAUUAAUUGCAGGAUUCAACUUACAUGAAAUUGUUUGGUCAUAAAAUAAAUAACAGCCAAUACGAACAAAAAGAACUUGAAAAUAUUAACAACUCUUACUGGAAAUAUUUCCUGAGAUGUGCUGUGUUCCAUGGGCGCUUCACCUCGUGGCCAUCCAUGCGAACCAGCUUGUAAGCUCCUGGUCCAACUAGCUGCUUGACUCUAUAUGGCCCCUCCCAAUUCGGACCGAGCACUCUUUGAGUCGAGUCUUUGGUGUUUUGAUUCACUCUCCUUAACAUCCAAUCUCCGACCUUGAACUGCCGUAUGUUCACCUUCUGGUUAUAAUACCGGGCAACCCUCUGCUGGUAAAUAACUGAUCGCUCGGCUGCUUGCUGCCUCUUUUCCGUUAGCAGAUCAAGAUUCAAACAUAUCUGCUCGUCGUUCUCCUGCUCAUUGAAAUGGUUUGUCCGGUGUGUGGUCGUUCCUAUUUCAGCUGGCACGACCGCUUCAAGUCCGAAAGCCAAGGCGAACGGUGUCUCUCCAGUUGCUAUUUUGUGGGUUGUUCUGUAUGCCCAUAGCACACCUGACAGCUCAUCAACCCAUGCACCCUUUUUUGCUCCAAGCCUGGUUUUCAAAAGCCUCUUAAUGGUCUUGUUGGAUGCUUCUACUUGUCCAUUCGAUUGAGGGUGAGCAGGCGAGCAAUACUUCAGCUCUAUCCCGAGGUUCUGGCAGAAAUCCCUGAAGCUGUGAUUAUCGAACUGCCUGCCAUUAUCCGUUACCAAGGCAUAAGGGAUCCCGUAUCGACAGACCAGGUUUCUCCACACAAAGUCCGUCGUUUUCUUCUCUAUAAUCCUGCUAAGGGCUUCGACCUCUAUCCACUUCGUGAAGUAAUCUAUAGCAACUAUUGCAUGCGUUGCUGCUCCUCGUCCCUUUGGCAGCGGGCCGAUCAGAUCAAUUCCCCAUUGAGCAAAUGGCCAAGGGGAGGCCAUAGAGGUGAGCUUCUCUGGUGGUUGGUUGGGGAAUCUUGCAAAACUCUAGCAGCUUACACAUCUCCUUGUCUUCUCCUGUGCAUCCUGGUGCAUUGUCGGCCAGAAAUAUCCCUGCCUUAGAACCUUGUGGGCCAGGGAUCUUCCACCAGAAUGAUUCCCGCAAAUUCCUUCAUGUACUUCUCUCAGUACAUAAUCUGCAUCGUCCUCAUCCAAACAUCGAAGGAAAGGUAGUGUAUAUCCUCGCCGAUACAGCACCCCAUCAAUCAUCGUGUAUCUCGAGGCCUGGGCUCUAAUCUUCCGAGCUCGCAGCUUAUUUGGUGGUAAUACCCUGUCUCUAAGGUAUGAAACUAUCGGGUCCAUCCACGAGCAUUUUUGUUCUAUCCGCAGCACCUUUAAAUUCUGCUCAAUGCUCGGGCUGGACUUCACCUUCAGAGGGAUCGACUUUGGCAUUUUUGGGUCUGCUACCGCUGCCAUCCUGGCCAAAAUAUCUGCUCGGCUAUUCUGCUCCCUCGGGAUUUGUACCACCUCCACCGCUUCGAAUUUCCCCAUCAUCUGCCUGACUAUCUUCAGGUACUGCUCCAUCUUCUCCUCUCUCGGUUGGAAUCUUUCACUGACAUGAUUCGCAACCAGCUGGGAAUCAGUUCUGAUCUUCACUCUAUCUGCUCUCACGGCCUUAGCCAGUUCCAAACCUGCUAUCAAGGCUUCAUACUCUGCCUGAUUAUUUGUUGCUGCGAAUUCUAACUUUACAGCAUAAGAGAUCUCCUCCCCCUCCGGUCCUUCCAGUACAAUCCCUGCUCCCCUGAUGACCCAUCUACAGACAUUUGCCAUACUUGAGCUUCGCCACUGUCUACAAAUCGGCCAUUGCCUGAGCCUUUAUCGCUGCUCGGGGUUUGUAGUCUAUGUCGAACUCGCUCAGCUCUAUAGCCCACUUGACGAGCCGACCAGAAGCAUCUGGCUUGUGCAGAGUUUGACGCAAUGGCUGGUUUGUUAUUACUGAGACUGGGAAUGCCUGAAAAUAUGGCCUCAACUUCCGAGCAGCAACCACAAGGGCAAGUGCCCAUUUCUCCAACAGUGGGUAUCUGGUCUCAGCGUCGAGCAGGGCCUUGCUGGUGUAGUAUAUCGGAUACUAAACUCCUUCUUCCUCUCUCACCAGAACAGAACUGGCGGCCCGAUCCGAUACCGCCAAAUACAGAUAUAACUUGUCCCCAUCCCUCGGUGUGGACAGCAGUGAAGCCUACUGCAAGUAUUGCUUCAAGUUCUGGAAGGCUUCCUCGCAUUCUGGGGUCCAUUCUGUUUUCUUUCCCCUCCUUAUCACUUGAAAGAAUGGCUAACACUUAUCCGUAGCCUUGGAUAUGAAUCUGCUCAACACCGCCAACCUCCCCGUGAGGCUCUGCAUCUCCUUCAGGUUACGAGGAGACCUCAUCUGCACAAUCGCCUGGAUUUUCUCGGGAUUUGCUUCAAUCCCCCUAUGGCUCACCAUGAAUCCAAGGAAUUUUCCUGACUCAACCCCAAAAGCACACUUCUCCGGGUUGAGCUUCAUCUUAUACUUCUUCAAAAGCCCGAAUGUCUCCUCGAGGUGUCUGACAUGUUCCUUCGGGAUUUUAGACUUGGUGAUCAUGUCAUCCACGUACACCUCCAUGGUUUUCCCAAUCAACGGCUUAAAGACUUUGUUCACCAGCCUCUGAUAGGUGGUCCCAGCAUUUUUGAGACCAAAUGGCAUUACUCUGUAACAGAACAAACCCUGGUUAGUGAUGAAAGCCGUGCUCUCCUCAUCCUGCUCGUACAUGGGGAUCUGGUUGUAUCCCGAGAACGCGUCCAUGAAGCUAAGCAGACCGUGUCCAGCCGUUGAAUCUACUAGCUGAUCGAUCUUUGGCAAAGGGAAGCUGUCUUUUGGGCACGCCUUAUUAAGGUCUGUGAAAUCUACACACAUCCUCCACUUGCCAUUUGCCUUCUUUACCAACACCACAUUCGAUAUCCAUUCAGGGUAAUUGACUUCCCGAAUGAACCCUGCUCUCAAGAGCUUCUCCACCUCGCCAUUUAUAGCCUCGUACCUCUCCUGGUUAAAGCACCUCAUCUUCUGCCUUACUCGAGCACCUUUCUUUAUUGCCAGCUUAUGACAUGCUACCUCAGGGUCAAUCUCUGGAAUGUCUUCAUGUGUCCAAGCAAACACAUCUGCAUUAGCCUGUAAGCAUUUCACCAACUCCUGUUUUUGCUCUCCCUUAAGUCUCGACCCGAUUUUGAUUGUCUUUCCCGGAUUCUCUGGUCCCAGGCUUACUGUUUCUAGAUCCUCUACAGGUUCUUGUCUGUCAUUCUUAUUUUCCACUCGGGUAUCGAGGGAUGUUAUCUGCAUUGCUUCUCUUGCUGCCGAGGAGUAGCAGCUUCUUGCGAUCCUCUGGUCUCCUCGUACCACUCCUACUACCCAUUCACCCAGUACUUCAGAGCCAGAUAAUGGUUGGACAGCACCGCUUUGCUCAUCCUCAGAAAUGGCCGGCCUAGGAUCAUCUGGUAAAGACCUUCUUCGUCUACCACCACAAAGUCCAGUAUCAUUGUCCUUUCUGUCGGGAAGCUUCCAAUCGUGAUAGGCAGCUCGACCACGCCUAGAGGGACCAGCUUUCCUCCUCCAAACCAUUUCAAGGAGGUAUUGGUAUAUUCCAACUUCCGGUCUGCUAUUCCCAUCUCCUCCAAGGUUGACUUAAAUAACACAUCAACUGAACUUCCUGUAUCAACCAAUAUCCGGUCAAACUUCUUGCUAGCGACAGUAGCCUUGAUGACUAACGCAUCCUCGUGGGGGUAUAGAAUUCCUUCCUCAUCUUCAUUCGUCCACAUGAUUGGCACUUGCCUGACCCUUGCUCGUUUGGCUGCUGGGGUGUUGAAGAAUACCUCUUUGCUGGUCAUGGCGUAUCUAGCAUAAUUCUUCCUCGACCUGUUGGAAUCUCCGGCCAAUGUUGGGCCCCCAGCUAUAACCCUUACUGCAGGCUGCUCGCGCCUCAAGUUCCUGUCACUCUGCUCCCCUUCACUUGUUGAGGCUACCAUUGGGAAGGUCCCAUCUACAAACUCGUCCAAAUACCGGUUUCUCACCAGAUCUUCAACCUGGGUCUUGAGAUCUCUGCAAUCUGCUGUGGUGUGGCCAUGAGUGCCAUGGAACUUACAAUAGUGUCCCCUAUCCCUCAUGCUGGGUAGCUUUGUUAUUGGAGCAGGGAGGUAUAGCAGCCCCCGAUCCUUUAUGGCCUCGUACACCUCGUCCAGGGACAUCUUCAAGGAAGUAUACCGCCCAUAGUCCUAGUUCUGGUCGAUCAGGUGCACUGCUCUUUCUCUAUUUGCUCCGUUCUGAGUUGGAGGCGGUGGCAGUACUUCUGGUCUGCUCCCUCUACUACUGUGGGGGUGUUGAUGACCACUAUAUGUUGAAUCAUGCCUUCUCCAAGGCUCCCUAGCUGGGGAACGAGGAGGUUGCACCCUGCUGCGCUGAUACUGAGGUGGCCUCUGAUGAGGCUGGUAAGCAGUUACCCUACCUUCUGCUCCACUACCUGCGGCCUGGUGGUCCCUCCUUUUGAUCGGCUCAUUCCCUGGUAAUACUUUCUUCUCUUUCCUCCCCAACCCUUCUAACUGGUCUGUCUUAAUCCGUGCUGCCUUUUCCUCUUCAAUCUCUAUGUCUCUCUUAACCUGCUCGUAUGCAGUUGCAUACGUUUGAACAGCUGGGCUCCUCAAGUUGUACCACAGCCUUCGUAUCUUCACUCCCUCUUUCAAACCCCUUAGUGCCUAAGGAUGGUUGAAGGCUCCCAAAUCAAGGACAGCACGAUGAAACCUCUUGAUGAAUUCCCUAAGGGUUUCUUGCUCCCCCUGCUUCAUGCUUUUCAACUCCAUCAUAUCAUCUUCUGGUGCCAUUGCCCCACGAAACUGCUCUGCAAACUCCUUGCACAUCUGCUCGAAGGUUUUAAUGCUCCCCCGAGGGAGUUUCCUGUACCACUCGCGUGCACGUCCCUCCAGGGAUAGUGGGAACACCCUGCAUCUUUGGGGUUAAGAUAAUCCUUGUACCCCCGUUAUGUCAUUGAAGCACUCUAUGUGCACCAGCGGAUCAGUUCGUCCCGAAUAUCUAAGGUCCGGGAGGCGGAAAUCUCUCGGAAUAACUGCCCUUAUGAUCUCUGCUGCGAGCGGUGAUUCUCCGUCCAGCAUUAUCCUCCAACCAGGAGCUCUGCUCCUUUCUUGCAUGUCGUCAAUUAUCUGCGCUAGUCUGCACACUUCCUCCUCCAACUGCACUGCACGACCAGGGUCACGUGCUGCAACUUGAUCCCGCUCUUGCUCUACAUCAUGCAAGUGUUGUCUCAACUCUGUUUCCUCUACAUUCGCCACCCCGUCGUCCUCGUCAAAAAUCUAUCUUGCUGGGGAUUGCUCUUCCUCUCUAUGAAAUUCUCCCCGCAGAGGUAUGUUACCCCUCUCACCACCAAAUCUCCCGUGGUUUGACUUCUCCUCGUACUAUCGGGACCUGGUGCCACUCCACCACCUCUCACCCUGUCCUCCUGAGUUACCCUUCGUUCACUCCGCAGCUCAUGCAGGAUGGUUGUCAGGGUCUCCAUUUGCUUUUCCAUCCGUUCCAUCCGGUUGAACAUGGUUUUUUUCCCGUGCUUCACUGGCUAUCUCCCUCAGCGUCACGGAAUCGUUAACCCUCAUAUCACCCCCUUGUGCACUACUUCCUCCUGUCUCCAUUGCUUUUCACUUGCUUCACUCCUCUUCUUGCUAUCAACAGAAGCUUUUUGUUUAGCUCCCCACAGACGGCGCCAAAAUGUUGAUGCGAGAUUCUGGUUACGCCCUUCCAACGACCAAGAUGUCUGCUCGAUCAACCUCACCUCGAUCAGGAUCUCUCCUCGUACGCUUUCUUCUCUAAGUAUCCCUGCGUCCACAGAAACAAGUCAGAGCACGCCGGUUGGUUUCCCGGCGUAAACCCUCCGACGCUCAAGUCAGAUAUGAAGGCUCUGGGAACGCUCGCCACAAAUCUUAUGGCUUUUUGGUUGUUUUCCCUUUUUUAGAAUUUCCUUUAUCUCUGUUCUAAUCUCAAAAUUGCUAACCCUUUUACCUUCGUUGGCUACCUUUUUAUAGGUCACUUUUGAACUCGGGCCUCCCCUCCAUUCGCGCUCAUUACCCUCCCACCUCUCAAAAGUGGAUUCCCCAUUUCCGUAGUCGUGGGUGGUUGCGUGGCCCUCAUGCCUAGAUUCUCGGACUGGAAAGCAUGCCUUGCCAACUGUCGUUGACCGGGUCUCCUCGACUCAGCCCUUAGCAGGAAUACAGCAGGAAUGGCUUUAUGCUUCUUACAGGAGAUUGGCCUCGCGGAUGACGUGCUCGUGGGUAAGCAGGGUAUUCUUGCUCCUGCUCCUCCGGAUACCAGGCUCUUACGGGACACACCGGUUCGCAGAGCUCUGCCAUCAGAUAUCUGCUCAUCAUGCUUGGUCUCGUCGACGUAUUUCUCCCAAACAGAUAUUUUCUUAUUGUUGGCACAAAUUUUCCUUUAAGUCAAAUUGGAAUAGAUGUUUGUGAGAUGCCUAGACUUGAGAAUUUGUUAUGAUUAUAUGCAUUAAAGCUUUCGGUAGACCCUUGAAAUCUUAUGAUCAAUGUAUUAGAAAUUUAGAAUUGGGGUUUAUAAGAGCUAGUUUGAUCAUGUUAUAACUUUUAUAAUUAUUGUUGCUAAUUCUGUUAUAGAAAUAAUUAAUCAGUUGUAAAAAUGAUUAGUUAAACAUUUGGUAAAUUUUAUUUUUAAAAGCAUUAUGACUUUUAAAAGCAGACGUACGUACUUAGUAAAUCUCACUUUUAAAAUAUUAUAAGAAUGCAAAAGGUUUAAAUAUAUAUAAAUUUAUAAAAUUUAUUUACACAUGCAUUUAUAGAUACAUGUAUAUAUAAUAAUUGAUAACUAAAAUAAAGAUUUUUAUUUUAUUAAUUUUUUUUUGUUAUCUAAAAAAAGGUAAUAAUAAUAUCUUUAAUGACGUAUUUAUUAAUCAGUAAUCGGAAUGGACUUGAAUCAAAAUGGAGGAAUGGAAAUCGGAAUAAAUUGUUUACUUUAACUAUCAAAAUUGGAAUCGUAAUGAACUGUAUUAUCACUUAUAUAUUUAUUUUAUCUGAGAAUCAGAAUGGAUUGUUUUAAAUUACUAAACUGGCCUUAUUAUUAUUAUUAUCAUUAUUAAAUAAGGUAAAAAGGAAUUUUCAAUUUUUACUGAAGUAAAAAUAUCAAUUCACUUCUCAUUCUCAGCCCUAGGGAAUGGGACUCCCAUUCCACAUUCUAGAAUUUAUGGAGUCCACUCAAAUUUUCAUUCCCAUUCCCCCUCCUUGUUUUGGAAGUAAACAGGUUAAUAGUUCUAUUCUCUCAUUUCUACUCCCAUUCUCAUUCUCAGGUACUAACACACCAAGGUAUUCGGUUCGGUUUUUGCCCAAUAGAACUGAAAUUAUUCGGUUUGGUUUGAUUUGGUUUAAUAAAAAAGCCAAAGGGUUUAUAUUUUUAUGAACCGAAUGGUUUGUGUUCGAUUCGAUUCCAAAAUUGAACCGAAAGCACAAACCAAUCGGUUCACGUAAUUUUAAUUAUUUUUAGAAAAAGAAAAACCAAAACUAAAUCGUAGAAUGUGAUUCCCUAAAAUCUAAAUCCCUAAUUCUCCUAACUAACUAAAACUAAGCACAGAACAGCACAACCACAACAACCUAGCAAGCGCAGCGGUAGCCCCUCUCUCACGGAACCACGCUCACUCUCAAGUAUAGCACGACAAUAGGGCUCUCUCAUGCAAUGAUAGGUAAUUUCUUAGUUUAGAAGGGAAAGUCAGAGAAACAGAGGAAGAAUAUAAGUUGAUUAAAAGGGAAAAGUCAAUUCUUAUUCCAAAAACUUGCUUAGUGCAAGUUCAAUAAGGUCUCUUAAAUAGACCUAUACAUAUAAUAAAAACUAGAAAACUAGAAAAGACGAAAAUCACUUGAAAAUAAAAAGCAUGAUCACUUAAAUGGUAAACAUACAUAACCGCCAUGAACUACAUGCAACCUAAGUCAAAUAAUCAACUGAAGAAACUUGAUCCCCAUGCAUAUUGAGCACAUACCAUUCCCCACCCUUUAGAAACACCUUGUUGGUGCGGUCAAAGUGAGGGUGAGCCUUCGAGAAUCGCCAUCGGUUCCAAUGAGUGUCCUCAAUUGCUGCUCCUAUCCCUUUAACCAGUAUUGAGUUGUACGAAUGGCACAUGAUCUUCAAUCAUGAAUAGUUGCAGCUUUUAACAACAGUGUGAUACAAACAAAUAAAAUAAUUAAAAUUAUUUAUUUAAUUUUAUUGUAUUAGUUAAUUUUGAACUAGUCAAAAGUAGUUGCCCUUAUUUUGUGGAACUACAUGUAAUUAGUAGAGCAUUAUGUGAGAACAUGUUUAGUGUUACUAAUUUUUAGGUUGUAAUCCUAAAUAAGCUUUUAUUAUAUAAAGCUUGAUGUUAUUCAAUAAAAAGGAUCAUGAGUUUAUUAUUUUGGCAACAUAAAAGUUGUAAUUGGGAGUUUAUUGAUUUCUCGAAUAACCAAUACUUAUUUGGAGGUUUGGAUUUCCUUGAAUUAACCCCAUUUGUCAUCUAAUUUUUCUAUUUCAUUUGAUUUCUUCUUAUAAACUUUAGUGUUCGUAUCACAAUGGCCAAGAAUAAGUUUCUCGUCACAAUAAUAACACAACCCUUUUCCACGAUGAGCAUGUGCUUCUUAGUUGGAUAGUUGCUGGAUAGGAGGGGAAGUGAUGUCAUCUGCUAUUUGAUCAACCUUAGGAGGUAGACCUAAGACCCUAACAAAGCUAUUUGGGGUUGGUUGCUAUAUCACCAAAAUAGGGGGUGGUAGAGAAAAGUGACUGGUGCAUUGAGAAAGUGAAUUCCGCUCCUCAAUCAGUCUUGUCACACCAAUGGUGUUAGCCAAGGUAAAGGGCUAUUUAAUCUUGACAUCUAGUUGUAUCUCAUCCUGAAGACCUACAAUAAAACAACCCACAAAAAAUCAUUCGAGUAAGCCAUCAACCUGAUGUAAAAGCUUUUCAAAAGUUUCUUGAUAUUAAGCUAAUAAUGGAAGUCUAUUUCAGGUGCAUCAAAGCCUUAGAUGGGUCCUCAUAAUCCAUUAGUUCGAAUCGUAGAAGGACUGCCUUUGAAAAUUUUGCCUAAGUUAGUAGGCCACAAAAUUUUAUUAACCAUCUAUGCAAUUAUAGAGCAAUCCCCUCCAAAUAGAAUGAUGCCAAUUGUAUUUAUUGUUCUGGGACUACAUUCUCAAAUCCGAAGAAUUGUUCCACCUUAUGAAUCCAAUCAGUCGAAUCUUCUCCGUUGAAAUUUGGAAAGUUUAGUUUGAGAUGGUGGUGAUGGUUGGGAAAGUUUAAGGAGGAAGGUUUUAUGGCUUGGUUAGAGGAUGCUGUAGCCUGUAGGUGCAAAGGGGUUAAUUUCAGAGGCAAUUACGUGUGAGGUUUAUGAUGCACGAAGAGAUUGAAGAUUUCUUGAACCUCAUUACGAAACUCAGCAUUUGAUUGACUUGGGGUAGCCAUAUUUCGAGCAACCUUUGUUUGAUACCAGAUGAUAGGUAAUUUCUUAGUUUAGAAAGGAAAGUAAGAAAAGUAGAGGAAGAAUAUAAGUUGUUUAGAAGGAAAGAGAUAAUUUUUAUUCCAAAAGCAUGCCCAGUACAAAUCCAAUAAUUUCUCUUAAAUAAACUUAUACAUAUACCAAAAAUUAAAAAACUAGAAAAGAAGAAAAUCACUUGAAAAUAGGAACAUGAUCAAUUAAAACGGUAACAUGUACAACUGCCACAAAUCAAAACCAAUCGAUUUUAAAUAGAAUGAAUUGAAAUCAAAUCAAACCAAACCAAACUAAAUCGAACCGAACCGAAAUAUUAGGUUCGGUUCUAAAUUUUGGUUUGAUUUUGGUUCGGUUCUAAAUUUUCGGUUCGAUUCUAACUUGUUGUUUUAACACCACGAUUUCUGUUCGUUGAAAGUAUCUUCCUCGUCGCCCAAAAUUCAUCCCACUUGCAGCUCAUUCUCUCAUGCAAUCCCUCAUCUUCUGUAGUAAUUUGAUUGCUCUGAUAACUAUAAGCAAUAAACCACUGCCCAAGAACUUUUGCCAAGAACAAUUCAAGAUGAAAAUAAGCCAAUGAUUGAUUUAAAGUUCCAAUGAUGAAACGAAACAUUAGCUCUAGGUUAAUGGAGAUUUAACAGAAGAUUAAAAAAAAUCAAGAUUGCACAGCCUCUUUAUACUCUCUUAUGAAAACAAAUCAAGUUCCAAUCUGCUUCAACAACCAGCCUCUUUAUACUCUCUUAUGAAAACCCAGAUUGCACAGCCCUUUGACACGUGUGUAACGGCUUCUAACGACUUGAUUCCUCCCUCACAUGCUAGCUCACGUGUUUUACUUAAGUUUCCUGAAAACGACACAAAGCAAUGCCGUUCUGCCUUAAGCUGAGGAGCCCGUGACUGCACGUGAGUUGUAAGUAAUUCCAGCUGAUCAAAACGCAGCCGUUUUGGGGCUCUGAGUUUUGAAUUCAUAACACUCCAGUCCACAUCUUCCUCACCCGCUAACAUAAACAAAGCACAAAACAAUUCCAAUCUCAGAAUUAAGAUCAUACUCAGACAAAUCCUUAAUCCAAUCAGCGAUCUAUCGUCUACUGCGAGCUAAUCGAGAGUGCCAUCUAAUUCGAGGUGGCUGAGAGACCGUGAGAGUGAGAUGUUGAUCAGAGAUAGAGAGAGUGAGAGUGAGCGUGGUUGCGUGAGUGUGGAAGAAAGGGGCUGCUGCUGUGCUGCGUUUGAGAGUAAGCAUGGUUGCAUGAGAGAGAGAGAGGGGCUGCUGCUAUGCUGUGCUUGAGAGUGAGGGUGGUUGCAUGAUAUCUGCUCAAUAUGUAUGGGAUGAAGUUUCUUCAGUUGGUUAUUUCACUUAAUCAAAAUAAAUUAUAGUAGUGGUUGCAUGCCUGACUUUGGAGGUAAGGCUAGAGGCAAACUUCUACAUUUAUAACUUGUUUCACAACAAAUUACGGUUAUAAAUGAGACUUAAUCCAAAGACGGAAAGAGAGAAAUUUGCUAUACUGUUUAGUAUCCAUUAUUGAGAAAAACACCAAAAUUAACUUUUACCUCUUUAAAAUCACUUUUGAAACCUCCCAAAAGAUAUCUCAAAUGGGUUCUCAAUUUUUUAAAACAUUACUUUUGGCUAAACACCCCAUCCUCCAGUAGAUUUUGAAAAUGUCAAAAUGUAUAAGACACUCAUCCAGUGGGGGUUUCACAGGCUUACCUCUCUUAGAAGUCUCUGCAUUCUUGGAUGUCAUGAAGCAGAGUGUUUUCCAGACGAGAAGAUAGGAAUGACGCUGCCCAAGUCUCUAACUUGUCUGUCCUUUCGAGGAUUCAAAAACACAUUUAAGAAAUUAGCAAUUUGUUGUUAGUCACAGUAUCUGACGUUCUUUUCUUUUAUAGUUUGCAGAAUCAACUGUAUUAUAUAUGUUGUCAUUUGCAGUAUCUGAGGUGCCUUUUGCAUUUUACUUGACCUUUAUUUGUUUUACUAGUGACUGAAGAAUACCAACAUUGGUUAGAGAUUUGGAGAAGCAUCUGAAGAGGCUUGACAAAGUUGGAGAUGCACUUGCUCCCAAGCCUUCAAUCAUCACAAUGCAAAUCCGAUGAGUACUUAUGCCUGCAAUUAUGUAAAAUAUUUGAAAUUUUGAUUCAGCGAAAUGGUUUGUUGAUGCAAAGCUUUAAACUGUUAAGACUUACCCAGCAGGCCUGUUGGAUGUUGUAUCAACUCCAAAAUCCAACAAGAACUAUGGCACCAAGACCCAGUUUUUACCGAUUCAAUCAGCUGAAAUGAUGAGGCAAAUCCCACGUAUUCGAAUCAAUCCAUUUCAUGAACUGUUAUUUUCAUGAUGCUUUCUAUUGGAGUUGAAGAGGAAACAAGGAUGUGUUGGAAUCAAUGAGAACAGUGGGAAGCAUGACUGGAGCUCUGAUUAUAAAUAGGCAUUUUAAAAACAUGUGCUGGUAAGUGGUAAUUAAAGAAAUUUGUGAGCUUAUUCAAGUUUCAGUAUUUGCUGUUUGGAUAAAGCUGAUACCAAGUUUGGCAAAAUCUGUGCUUUCUUUGUUCAAUCGGUGUUAUGGUUAAAGUAGAUGCUCUGAUUAAUAAGCCAGACUACGAUAGCUGGCUCUAAUAAUCGGCUUCCUUUUUCUUGUUUGCUGUUGUAUAUUCUUUCAAUUUUUUUUUCCGCAUUAGGACGAUCAGUUGAAGAACAAGUUUGUGUUUGACGAUGCAUUUAAGGAAGAGCCAGACUUGGAUGCAGAUCUGAAAAGGUUAGCAUGAAUGAAAACCUUCAGAACUGACUGAAGGUUUCUGAGUUGAUCCUAAAAAUGUAGCAGUUGUCUGUUUCAUAAAGCAGAACAAAAACAGAAUAAGAGAUCACUAAUCAUGCUUGAGAAUUCAUUUAAAUAAAAUUUCAAAAAUUGCCAAACACAGCCUAAACUAGGAUGCACUUGCUUAAGAUUCAUUUUCAGAAGGAAGGUUGUACUUGCAGCUCAUAAAAUCAUGUUUAUGUUGUAUGUUUAUUCAGCAAAUGAAAGAUUCCAAGUUUGCUGAAACCAUAUUAUUUUUUUACCAGGCGCCUUCUUGAAGGUAUCGACGUCAAUUUCAAAAAUGUUGGGGAUAAGUUGCUUGAUGCAAUGCUACACAAAUAUGAAGGAUUUCUUGUCGAUGAUUACUACCACCUCGAUAAAAAAAUUCAUGUAACUGGUCAUGCCGGCAAUAAAAGAAGGAAAGGUGGUAUACGUCGAAGACAUAGAUGAAGGCCUCGAGUCCAUCGGCCCUCGUUGGGCUAUUCACUUGUCGGAAUGUCAGGAAACAACUUGUUGAAGUUGCGUGGGAAUUUUAAAACUACCAUAUGUUGUAGAAAUGCACUGAGCCAUGUGCUUUCAGAGCUUUGUGAAGAUGUCUUGGCCAUGUGUUUGAUACAGGUUAUGCUUGUUCGAUUAAAUUGUACGCAGUUUUAAAUCAAAGAUUCAGAACAUGCGUAUGUUACUGGUUUCUAGAAUCCAGAUCAACAAAUGCCUCUAUGUAGAAGUUAAAAUUUUAAAUUUUUUUAAGUAGAGGUGUAGAGUUUCUUUUUUCAAAAAAGAAAAAGUAAAUUGUGGAGGCUAUCUUUAUUUGAUUUUACAAUCUUAUUUUAUUUAUUUCACGACAUAAUUUUAAAAUAUUUAUUUAGUAAAUUAUUAACAUCUAUACCACUAAAGAUUUUUUUGUUAAACGAUCUACUUACAAAGUUAUAUUAAUUAUAGAUUUACUCAAAGAAGCCCUAUUAAAAAAGUUAUAGCAAGUAAAGCUCUCUCUCUCGAAUAGAGAGGCGGGAAUGGAAGUAUUGAGGGGUCGUAAGGACCCAGGUGUUCACUCCUUGGGAGUGUAAAGUAGAUCAUCAACUUUGGUUUUUUAGUUUUAGUGCGGUUGGCUAGGCUCUCUGGGGAAGCAGAGAGUUUUCUCGGAGGAAGGGCUAGGUAGUCAUUAUUGUUUGCUCAUCCUCAUUCAUUAGCUGCCAUGGAUACGGACGAAUUAAUUCGAAAAUACAAAGCAAUAACUAUCCGAGAGGAAGAUAAAGCUAGAGUGACGUUGGAGGUGGACUUGAAAACUAAGAAAGAGGGAAUGCUAGCAGGAUGUUUAAUGGGUAAAGUCCUUCUCUCGAGAGGAGUUAAUAAAGGAUGGAUAAUGACUAUGGGCCAAUACAUCCUUAGCUUCUUUUCCGCUGAGCAGAGAAAUUUUUUGAAGGGUAUAAAAAAUAGCUAUAACCUAUUUACAUUUUAAAUUUGAAUCAACGGUCAAACAUAAUUUUAAAUUUUUUGAAGUAGAGGUGUAGAGUUUCUUUUUUCAAAAAAGAAAAAUAAAUUGUGAAGACUACCUUUAUUUAAUUUUACAAUCUUAUUUUAUUUCUUUUACAAUAUAUUUUUAAAAUAGUAAAUUAUUAACAUCUAUACCACUAAAGAUUUUUUUGUUAAUCGCUCUACUUACUAACACCGGACACAAUAGAUGAGAAAACACAACGUCACACACCCAAGAAAUCACAAGCUCACCACCACAACAAACAACAAAAGGAUACAGAAAAAAAUCCACCACCUAAAGUUGUUAAGCUAAGGAUACAGGGCUUAAAAUACUCACCACUCAAUGGAAUCCACCAAAGAGAUACAGAGUUUGAUAAUAACUCAAAGUUCAUCCAAUCCCCAAAAUUAAUCUCUGUCUUUUGGUUACAACUACAUAAGCUUAAAUAACUUUCUCGGAACAAUCCUCCAAGUAUAGAUAUACUACAGAGAAACCCUUCAAAUGACUUGACUUCAAAGACCAACAUUAAAGCUAGACAUGAAUAAAACAUUGGUAUGCUUAAAACACAACAAAGAGCAUUAAAAAAAAGUCCCAAGUCCAGAAAUAUUCUUCUUGACUCAAAACUGAACAGUCUGCACUUAACUGAAUAUAACUUACUGUAGAAAGCUCCAAAUUUAGAUUAGUAAAAUUCAUUGGAAAGCUAACAGAAAUAUCUUUCCAAUGAUGUAUGGGUCGAAAAUUAAUUCGAUCUCAUGCAGUACAGUUUAAUUCCCAAAGAUUCCCCUUCUGCACAGAAAUUCUGCUUACUUGAUUAAUGUAAGAACUUGAACUGCACUUGGUAUAACUUGAAUACCAAAUAUUUCAAACACCCCUGUGUUACUUACAAAGUUAUAUUAAUUGUAGAUUUACUCAAAGAAGCCCUAUUUAAAAAGUUAUAGCAAAAAAAGUCCUAGUUACCUUUAGUUAAUAAUAAUCUUCUAAUCUGUCUUACAACGGACUUUUGACAAAAGUGUGCUACUCCCACCUCUUCAAAGUCCACCCGACACCACGUCUUCUCUAUUUAAAAUUUUCUAUAGUUGAAAAUUAUAUUUUCUUUUACUUGACGCCCCUCCAAAUUCUAAAACUUAGCUUCGAUGAACUUUCUUCGUUAAAUCUCUUUGCUUUACUUUAUUCUUGUUACUUGAGAAGAAGAGCCAGAGUCUAGAAGAAUGAAAGAAAAUUCAACGAGAUAGAAAUUUAGAAAUUUCAUCCGAUCCUUUUUUUCUUCAAUUUUUUGGUAUUUUGAUUCGUUCAAUGGAUUCUUGAUCAUUAUUCAUUCUUUCUAGUUUCUACCAUGAUUCGGAAAUUUUUCUUAAAAAAACUACUACUCUUGUGUAUUUAAAAAAAAAGGAAAGAAAGAAAAAAGGCAUUAAUAAAGAAUUGUGCACGUAACAUUAUUAGUACCUUGUUGAUUGGUCGUUUGGUCUUCAAGAAAUGUUAGUUGAUAUAUGCUUGAAAUUAUAUUCUGCUUUUUUUUUUCCUAUGUAUUGUUUCCCGUUUGAUUACAUUUCAAACAUUUUUAACACGAAUGAAUGCUUUAACCAUUUUUGUCACUUCAUUAUUACAAUAAGCUGAUUGAAGUUAUCUGCGUUGGUCCUGAAAAUGUAAUGGACACUUCUCUGUUUGAAUAAAACAGGACAAAACAUUGAUAUUUCUACCAUUGCCAUACAUAGUAUAGCCUAGGAAUACAUUUCCAUAAUUAAUAUUUAUUUCAGAAGGAACUUUUCACUUGCAGCUAACAAAAAAAAAUUGGGAGAUGAAAGAUUCGCUGCAUUACCAACACUUCUCUGUUGGUUUAUUACUUAAAAGUUGGGAGAUGAAAGAUUCGCUGCAUUAUUUUAUUCCAAGUUUGCGGAAAUCAUAUUUGUUUUCCCGGCUGCUUUCCUGAAUGUAUCGACAUCUAAGAUGCUUAAAAUGUCGGGGGUAAGAUGCUUGGUGCAGUGCUACUCAACAUGAGAAUUCAUCUUCUAACUCGUUACCUGAUAUUAUUGUCUUCUUGAAAAUUUAAUUAAGCUUAGAAGUCCCUCAACCACAAAAUCAAUGGAGUUUAACUCCAUCGAUACACAACUUUUAAGUAAUAAACCAACACAUGAGUUCAUCUCUAUUGAUACUCAAGUUCUAAGUCCCUUAUUCAAUACUAAAAUCCAUGAGAAUUAAACUAACCGUAGUUUAACAUGUGAUUAACAAAUGUUAAAAGGUUCAAAAAAUACAUCAAUUAUAAAAGAAAUAAAAUCAGCAAAGAGACCACAUCAGAAAUUUCUUAGAUGUCCGAAACUAUUAAAAGAAUUCACAUACCAAAUCAAAAAAAGUAGAAAAUGCUUAAGCUUCUUAAGGUAAUUUGAAGUAUGAAAGUGAAUGGCAUAUAAUCCAGUAUAAAAAAAAAUGGUUUUAGUGCCGUACAAAGAGAAGUUAAUGGUGGUUACAGAAGUGGGGAAAGUUGGGUACAAAUCAGAUAAUGGGAGGCUCCUAAACUUCCUUAAAUCAAUUUUAAUUUCAAAAAUAAAAUAAUAAUAAAUAAAAAAUAAAAAAUAGCAUAAAAGAAAUAAGAUAAAAAUUACUUUUCUAAAAUUGCAUGCAAGUAUACAAAAAUAACAUAUGUUGAUAUUACAUCGAGAAAGGUCCAUCAGCCCUAGUUGGGCUAUUCGCUGCGUAGAAUGUCGGAGAACAACUUGUUGUGGUAGCUUGGGAAGCAAAUGUGAAUGUUUCUUUCUAGAGCGGAUUCCCUGCAAUCUUACUCGACGAAUGAAGUUGUAUCUCUUAAUUGGAAUUGAGAUUGGACAACUGAAGCUUAAAAAUAUAUUACUAAAGUAGUUAGUAAAUAUUAGUUGCUGUAGUGUAGAAACUAACUUGAUUCAAUUUCAUACUUAUAUGAAAAACCUGUAAUAUCUUUACUAUUUUUAUCAAAAUUACUAUUUAAAAAUUGCAACUUCUACACGGUGUCAAAUUUUAUUCCAUAAUUACACAUUUCUUCAUAGCAGUUAUAGUUUAAAAAUUACAAUACUUCAAUACCAAAUAGAGCCUUCAUCGCUGUAUUCUUUUCAAUUGAUCUAUUACAUUUUGUUUUCAAUGGAGUGACGCAAAAUUUGCCUUCUGUCUUAUUGUUAAAGAGGAGAAUUUAGAGUGGCUUUUUGCUGUUAAAAAAUAGCCUAACGUAAGAAUAAUGAAUGAAUAUCCACAAGCUACUGUAUUAUAUGUUGUUAGAGGAUGUAAAAAUGAGGAGACUAAAGAUACAUUUAAAUUUCAAGGAACAUUUAUUAGAAGUAAAUUUCCUAUGACCCUACAGGUGACUAAUUAAUGGGAAAUUGACAAUGACAAAAGCAAAUUUAUGAGUUUUGUAGGCUGGCAUGCCUAUAUUAUAGCAUUGUUCGAUCAACUGCCACACCAAAUGUUUUUGACGAGAAAUAAAAACAUCAAGAUAUUGCCCGCUUGCCGUAUUCCACAUCGUGAAUUGUAUCUCUGUUCCUCAAUUUUCAGUGUUCCAUACAUAAAACCAUUUUCAGUUUCUCUUGUUAUCAAUUCAAUUUCUUGUUCGUGACGAUCUUGAUUCCUUUCUUUCUGGUAAAACGGAGCCAUGUUUGCUGUUGGAGAGGUCUUCCUCAACGCUUUCUUUCAGGUGUUGUUUGACAGGUUGGCUUCUCGUAAUUUGCUCAGCUUUGUGCGUCAACUCCAAGGCGGGGUUGAUUCGGAGCUCAGAAAGUGGGAGAAAAAGCUGAAGAUGAUUCAGGCUGUGCUUAGCGAUGCAGAGGAGAAGCAACUGACUGACGAGGCUGUGAAGAUGUGGCUAGACGAACUCCAAGACUUGGCUUAUGACGCUGAGGACAUUCUUGAUGAGUUUGGUACUCAAGCUUUGGAAAGCAAGUUGAUGGCGAAAAAUCAGGAUAGCACUGGCCAGGUUCUCAGUUUCAUACCGGCUAGUUUGAAUCCGAAUGCUAUUAUGUCCAAUUAUAGCAUGGGAUCCAAGAUUAAAGAUAUUACUAGCCGGUUGGAGCAACUCUGCCAAGAUAGAAUUGAACUUGGGCUGCAACGGAUUGCUGGAGGGGCAUCAUCACCUACUGCUGCUGCACACCAGAGGCCACCCAGUUCAAGUGUCCCAACAGAGCGUGAAGUAUUCGGAAGAGAAGAAGAUAAGGCCAAAAUUCUUGAUAUGGUAUUGACCGAUACCCCCAGUGAUCAUGCCAACUUUGUUGUAAUACCCAUUGUUGGCAAGGGCGGGAUAGGAAAAACAACUCUUGCUCGGGAGGUCUACAAUGACAAGGCCGUUGAAGAUUCCAAGUUUGAUGUAAAAGCAUGGGUUUGUGUCUCUGAUGUCUUUGAUAUUUUGGGCAUCUCAAAGGCACUUCUCGAGUCAAUCACCCGCAGGCCUUGUCUUCUAAACAAUUUAAAUGAAGUGCAGGUUGAGUUGAAAGUAGCUGUGGAUAAAAAAAGAUUCUUGCUGGUCUUAGAUGAUGUUUGGAACGAGGACUACAGCUUGUGGGUAGACUUAAAAGCUCCAUUCUUGGCAGCUGCACCAAACAGUAAGAUGAUCGUCACCACACGCAAUUCAAAUGUUGCAUCAAUAAUGGGACCAAUUGAACAUUAUAAUCUCAAGAGACUGUUAGAUGAUGAUUGCUGGUCCAUUUUCAUACAGCAUGCACUUGAAUCUAGAGAUCUUAACGCACAUCAAAUUUCAGAAUCGUUCCACAAGAAAGUUGUUGGCAAGUGUGGAGGCUUGCCCCUGGCAGCAAAAACAUUAGCGGGCCUUCUACGUACUACGAGGCAUGAUGCGUGGGACGAUAUCUUGGAUAGCAAACUAUGGGAUUUACCACGACAAAGUGACGUUCUCCCUGUGUUAAGAUUGAGUUACCAUCAUCUUCCGUCUCAUUUGAAAAGAUGUUUUGCUCAUUGUGCCAUCUUUCCGAAAGAUUAUGAAUUCAAUGAGAAGGAGCUGACUUUCUUAUGGAUGGCUGGAGGAAUUAUUCGACAGUCAAGAAAGAAUGAGCAGCUGGAAGAAUUGAGCAGCAAGUGCUUUCAAGAUCUAGUGUCGAGGUCUAUUUUUCAACAAACCAGCUCUGGUAGUGCUAAAUUUGUAAUGCACGACCUUAUCCAUGAUCUUGCUGAAUUGGUUUCUAGAGAAACCAUUUUCAGGUUAGAGGAGUCCACCAACUUGUCAUCAAGAAGAUUUGAAAGGGUUCGCCAUUCUUCGUAUGCCCGUGGUAGGCUUGAUGGUAAAUCUAAGUUCGAGGUUUUCAAUGAAAUUGAACAUCUACGAACAUUCUUGCCAUUAUGCAUAAGAGGUGGCGUUACUUCUGGUUAUAUAACUAGCAUGGUUCUCUACGAUUUGUUGCCGAAGUUCAAAAUGUUGAGAAUGCUAUCUUUACAAGGAUACCGUAUUGGUGAGUUACCAAUUCCAUUUGAAGAUCUGAGACUUUUAAGGUUCCUAAACCUUGCUGAUACUGACAUAAGAAGUUUACCUGAGUCAACAUGCGCAUUGUUGAACUUGGAAAUUUUGAUAUUAAGAAAUUGUUCCCGUUUGAUAAAGCUACCGCCCAAAAUGAUGAACUUGAUCAAUAUUCGUCAUCUCGAUAUAAGAGGUGCAAAUUUGUUGAAGGAGAUGCCAUUCGGAAUGAAAGAGUUGAAGAAGCUUCAAACAUUGUCCAAUUUCAUCGUGGGCAAGGGCGAAACUGCAUCUGGUUUGGAAGAUUUAGGAAGUUUAAACUUUGCAUUGCUGGAUUAGAGAAUGUGAAUAAUCCACAGAAUGCAAGAGAAGCCGCAUUAUGUGAGAAGCUCAAUCUUCAUGCAUUGACUCUAGAAUGGGGGUCUCAAUUUGACAAUUCUCGAGAUGUAGCAGUAGAAGAGCACGUGCUGGACAUUCUACAGCCUCAUAAAUGUAUAAAAAAGGUGGCAAUCAGGAACUAUGGUGGUGCAAGGUUUCCACUUUGGAUAGGAGAUCCGUUGUUCUCCAAGAUAGAAUUCCUUGAAUUGGAGAACUGUAACAAUUGUGUAUCUUUGCCAUCGCUUGGUCUAUUGAGUUCACUUAAGCACCUUGCUGUUAAAGGGAUGAAGAAGCUAAAAAGCAUAGAGUCUGAAGUUUAUGGGGAGGGUUUCUCAAUGCCUUUUCCAUCAUUGAAGAUUCUACGUUUUGAGAAUUUGCCAGAGUGGUGGCAUUGGGACACCGAUAUCAAAGGAAAUGUGCACGUUGAUAUAUUUCCUCGUCUCCAAGAACUUUCCGUUGUGAAAUGUCCCAAACUCUCUGGAAAACUGCCUGAGCUUCUGCCCUCCUUGGAGAUACUUGUUGUUAGUAAAUGUGAAAAGUUGGUAGUUUCAUUGUCAAGCUAUCCAAGGCUCUACAGAUUAGAGGUUGAUGAGUGCAAAGAACUAGUGUGCAGGACCCCAAUUGAUUCUAAGUUGAUAAAGUUCAUGACUAUUUCAAAUAGUUCAUUAGACAUGAUUGGAUGCAAGGGGAUGCUAUACGAUAGUCAAGCUGGCUCUUCACUGCCAAAACCCAUGACCACUACAAAUGUUUUGGAGUUUGGAAAAUUACUGGAGCCUGGAUUUCAGAUAUUAGAAACUUUGGUAAUUGGCAAUUCUGAACAGCUCAAG
RNAcentral lists this long non-coding RNA (53057 nucleotides) under Citrus x clementina. RNAcentral describes it as "Citrus clementina (C. clementina) long non-coding RNA (CCLE_LNC004310)". The record is from RNAcentral. Lineage: Eukaryota; Viridiplantae; Streptophyta; Magnoliopsida; Sapindales; Rutaceae.